GUUGUGUCAACCUAAACCUUGUCACUUCGUUGAAUCCUUUCUUACCUCCCUAUCAUGCUAUCUCAUUUCAGAAUCUCCAUCUGAUCGAUAUCUCGCUAUCCAUCCACUCUUAAUUUGUUUUGGAUUUUAUUUGGAUUUACUAUUUCUUUGGUAUUUAUUUGUUUUCCAUUUGCUAACGUUACAACGAGUAGGGAGUAGCGAGGUUGGACAUGGACAGAAACAGGUUACCGAAGAAGGACUCAACAAUGAAGGCAUGCCUCCUUCUUUGAUCAUAUUUAUCCUAUGUUUACAAAAUUGCAUUCUGUUUUAUGGUUACUAUAUGCAUGCUAUUUUAAUUCUCGUAGCUAGUGUGUCGAUUGACACAUUACCCUGAUCCGCUUGUCGCCUAUUCACUUGACACCCGAGUAUAAUUAUAUAGUAUUCUAGUAGAGUAGAAAUGCUUAGCCAUGCUUAUUACCCUAUAGGUGCUUUGCUGAAUGUCCUUUUAGUCAUUGACACUUGAAACUUAUUUCUUGAGCUCGCUGAGCUAGGCAAGUUGGCCUUGUUGACCUUCUCUAUCCUCUUCUACUCUGGGUGAAACUUACCAUCUGAAUACUGGCGCGGGCGACAGCUAAAUCAAGGAUUGAAGGAGCGAUUGGCUGCCCUUCACGAGUUGAAGGGGGCAAUCAGUCGUCCGUGCCGCUUAAGGCCUAAUAAGUCUUGGAUUUGAAGAUUGUGAUAACAGUACAGCCAUAUGCUCUAUGGGCACUGGCUUGGUCAAGUAAGCUAGUCAGCCUUAGGUGUCGAUGUCGCCGUACCGCAGAUGGGAUAGCUGCCCUGCGGGGAGUAUCCUCGGCACAGAUGGGGGGACCUGUUUGAGGACGUACUCUCAGUUUCGUGCGCCAGAUCCGGUGGGCAUGUCACAUCUUUGGGGGAUCUAGUCCAAAGACCUCGUCACAAUCUCUCUGCCGGUAUACCGGAUGGUGUACUACGCUAGCGACGGCUAGUGGCAACAAGUCGGGAUUGUGUCGUGUGGGUAAAGUGUACAACCUCUGCAGAGUGUAAAACUAUUCGAAUAGCCGUGUCCUCGGUCAUGGACAACACAUGAAUCUUUCUUGACAUACAGGACAUGUCUUGCUUAUUCCCUCUUUACCCCUAUUCUUGGAACCUAUGAAGAGUAUGAGUUGAUCGAGGAUCCUCACUUUGAUUAAAGUUAUUCUGGAGAUAAAAUAUGUUUUCAUCUAAAACUGCUUUUAUCCAACUGCUUUAUUUGUCAAACAAAAUUAGCUUUAUGCAAAUGAGCCAUACAACCUUCCUUUGAAGCCACAUGUAGUUAUUAGGACCUUCCCUAAGGGAGGCAUGUUGAGUACGUAAUGUACUCAUGGCAAUAAUUUUGUUGACAACAGAGUUCCAUGAAGACGAAGGUGAUGAUUAUGACAACUAUGGCGAUCUGUAGGAGUGAGGUCAUGUGGACUACAUCGACUGCCUGUGGCUAAGAUGGAGUUGCUACGCAUUUGUACUUUCCGCUGUUUUCUGAUUGUAAUAAAUGUCCUGAGACAUUUCUCUAUAUGUAUGACUUGUGGCAAUAUUUAAUAAACUUGCAAUACAUUUACGUAUUGUGCAAUGAUACCAUUUCGCGGUGUUGUCAACAAUGAUCCUGGGGUUGACAAAUAUACACAGGAGGGUCUAGAAAUUAAUUUCAGGUUCUCAUAGAAGUGGUAUCAGAGCCGAUGUCGACCUAGUCGUGUGGCCUUACUUAGAAAUGGAAAGCCUUAGGUACUAUUGUAAUAAGAAAAACUAUUUUGAAAAGGAUCAUUCUCGUACUCUUCUCCUUCACUAUUGCUAUUGUCAUCUCAUCUUAUUCAUUUGAAAUUUUAACUCUACUUCUCUACCAUCUUCAUUGUAGUAUGUGAAACCCUUUUCCCUGCCCUUGGUGUUGAAAAGUCAGAAGCUUCACACGAUGUGCCAAGAAUUUCAAGAUAACUUCAACCCCUGAUGCUUUGAGUAGCAACAUUUUUCCGAGAGAAGACACUUCGAGACCUCAAGAAGGCAACAACUGUCGAUCGUGAUCCAAUCGUCAACGUUGAAGAUUUGCUCCAAGAAUUAUUGUGACCAUCCAUAUAGGAUUAGGUUGGUUAAUACCCAUGUAGUGGUAGGACUCGUAACUAGUAGACGCAAAACUUUUUUGUGUGAGUAUCGUCUGCAUAUUUUUCUUCUGGCGUUUUCCUAUGCAGUCAUACUAAAACCCUAUUUGCCGAAAUGAGUUGCUUUUGAGUUUUAUUUGGAUAGCUUCAUGGUUAUCUCGGUGUUAUCUUUUGUUUAUCUUCUGGGUUAUCUCCGCCUUGUGUGAGAUUCUUUUACUCCUCUUAUGUUCUUUCCCUCUUCUCUAUAAACUCUGGAGGUCGCCUUGAGAUGAGCGAAGUUUCAACAACCCACUUAGAGAUAUAUUAUGAAAGAUAACCCUAUGGAAAACCUCCUUUAAGGGGGGUAGUUGAUGGCGAUGCAUGGCGAGAUCAAAGAUUUGAAGACCUUCAUUCACAAAGAAGAAGAAGAAGAAGAAAUGAAUACCUUCACUACAUCUACCAUAAGUUUAACAUGAAGGAAGGAUCAAUGAGUCUAUCCGCACUAAAGCUUUGAUCUGCAAAAGAAGGGCAAGACCGAAUAAUAUUCAACCAAUCAGAGGAGCUAUCAAAUUACCAUCGCAAAGACCGAAGGACUGCUGCCAAGCCCUGAGCAAUCUAGAGAUAGUAUCGACAACUGAAGUAUCUCUAAUCAAGACCCUGAAGUUGCUAGCUUAUCACCAAGAUCAGAUUCGACCAUGACCCCACAAGUUUUUUUAAGGACUCAGUCGAAGACGAAGCUAACCCAAACCGAUUCUCUUUAGUUAGCCUGAAUCUCGGGGACGAGAUUCCUUUUAAGUGGGGUAGAUCUGUAACAUCCCGAUUCUCGGAAUGUUCAAGAAAAAAAAUCCAAAAAUCAGGACGAGAAAAUUGGUUUGUUUUAUUUGUUAAUAAAAGCUUAAAUUGAGUUUUCAUAAAGUUAGUGGAUUUAAUUUGAACUUUUGCAACCUAAAUUAAAUUUGAGUUGCUUAUUUUAUUUUAGUUAGUUUUUUUUUUCUUCGGCAUAUUCAAAUAUGCGCCUUUGGAAUUUUAUUUGGUUGUUUUGUUCUGAAAUUUGUUUGAGCGUUUUAUUUCUAGAUUUUCCUUUCUUCUCUCAACUUUGGGCGAAAUUCCCUUGCCUGUCAGUCCCAUGUUGUUCUCUGGUUGCAACUCACAUUUUUUUUAACGAAUGGACCAAGCCUAACCUUUUUUUUUUGUUCUCUCUCAUGCUAUUAAUGGGCUGGCCAAACCGACCCAUUUCCCCAACGGAGCAAGCACCCCUUCUCCUCCCUUCUUUUCUGUACGCUAGCAAACCUACACAGGAAAGUAAACAGCCACACCUCCAAGGAAAGAAACGCCAUCAUCAAGUCAUGAUUGCUGCCUCCACAAUUCCUUAAAUCCAGUUUCCAAAACUAAAGUCUUCAUCUUGUCCGCCUCCUCUUCUUCCUCUUCUCUGUACGUUCCCAGAAACAGAAGAGAAAACAUACAGCCAUGAAGAAACCUUUCCUCUAACUCCCUCAACUCUCCACCGUUUACAAUUCCGGAGACAUAUAGACGUGCACCCCAAACUCCUCUUCCAUUCCAACAGCAGCCCCUACCUUCUUCCUUCUCAGUUCUCUCAAGAACUUUCCUGAAGCAAUAGUGCUCUAUGGACGCCGGUCGUCGAUCCCGAUGAAGGAGGUCAUCUCCAUCCAAAUCCUUACGUCAGAAGAUUCUCCACCAGACCACAAAUCCAUUCGGAGAACAAGAAACGCGUUGGGUCAACCACACGUGAAGAAUUCCACAUGUCCACGUACACUGUGCAUCAAGUUCGUCGCACCGUUCCGUCAACCCCGGUGAGUCACUAUUCAAUUCCUUUUGCACGCAUGCUCAACGUCAUCCAGAGUACCCCUAGACAUCUUGCUCCAUCUGUUCGUCAUUGUUGGUCGCGCGCAUGACGGAGCCGUGCCACUACUACUGCUUGGGGUGAUGUCGCCGUUGCUCACUCGAGAGACUCCACCAUGUACAUCUUCUUCGCAUCGCGUGAACAAGCAUGCCAACGUCUCCUACCACACCAUUGAACAACUACAUCGAUGGCGCAUCAAGCACCUCAACAUCUUGUCAUGGCAUCGUCCUUUUCAACCUUUCUUUGGUGAGCCAUCGUCCAACUCCGUUCGCACAAAUGCUUUACUUUCUCCAUCCUAUCUCCUAGACACCAUAGCUCCACCUAUGUUUGUCGUUGGGUGUAUAGAUAACAUCCGUCGCCAUAAAACAGAGGAAUUACCGUAUUUUUUUUCGUUCAUCGGUUAAUAUCGAGCCCAGUAUGCGAAACGUUCUAAAUAAUCCUAGGAAACACUUCGGUUGUUUAGUUUCAGUUUAGCAUAUAUGAUUGUUAAUUUGUAUUUUUAGAGCUAUUGGAUUUCAAGGGAAUUGAACUCUGUUCAUGAACUUGAGCAUUAUUUUUAUUAUCUUCUUGGUAUGCCUAGGAGUACAUGCUAGUUGUUCCAUAAUUUUGUGCGUGACAUAUGACUUUUUAAAUUAUUAGUUUACCGAUUAUAAUUAUUUCAAACUAAGUUUUGCAUGUUGUCUCCACUUGACGAUUUGUUGUAUUGGGUAUAGUCCUCUUUUAUGCAUGCGUACAUUUUUUUGUGAAUGCUUGCCAUGCUUUAAUUCCUUAGAAUUUUUCUAGGUGUUGCUUAUUUAUCUAAUCUUGGGAUACUUCAUGUUUUAAUUAUUUUAAUUUUUUGUUUAGCAUAGUGAUAUCUUAAAUAUGGUUGCAUAUUCAUUUUCAUCCAUGUCGCACGUUGUUUCGUUUGCAAUUAUGCCAUGUCUACGAAAGAGGCUUGUAUAUUUUGGUACAUGUUGUUGCAUGGUUCUUUUAUGCUAGAAGUCAAAUGAAAUGGUUUCUUGUUUGAGAACAAACCCAUUGUGGUUCUUGUCGCAUAACAUAUUAUUUCCUAGGUAAUCCUCUUAUUUUGUAGAUGUGCAUUAUCCAUUAUUUCAUGUGGUUGGUUGCUUCAUGUCAUGAUUCUGAUUUGUAUUGCUAUGUUUGGUAUAUGCUUGUAUCAUAUAAUUUUAUUUAUACUUCUUGUUAAUUAUCCUAGAUGUUUUGUUUACCUAGGAUGGUAGUUGCGCAUGCUUAGUUGAUAGACAUGCCGUGUUAGUACUUACAUAAAGUAGAAUGCACAUUUUGGUUAUAUGCCUACCAUGUGUUAUAUCAUUGCUAGUUUGUAUCUUAUGUUCAUGCAUUGGUUAGUCUUGUUAUAUAUACAUGAUAGUAGUUUGUAGGUAUCAUAUGUUCUUUUAUUCAAUAACUUGUUGCUUGUAGAAUACUAUGCCAUAUGUUGUUAUGAUUGUAUGACUAGAUUGCAUAGUGUGUCGGUGUAUCAAUUCAUAGUAUAGAUCAUUCCAAGUUGUUAUGUUAUGUCUUUACAAUUGUAAGUUGUAAUAGAUAAAAAAUGCAUGUCAUAUCAUUACUCAUGCGCUAGUAUAGUACAUUGCUUAAUGUUGUCGAUGCCAUGAUCUAGUAUUGCUUGCCUACAUGCUUAGUAUGCUUCCUCGGUGUGCUUACAGUCAUAACUAGUAUUUAGGGAUUGCGUGCUAUUGCUAUGCUUGAUAGUCAUGUUAGUUGGUAUCAACUAAAUUAUGUCGUAGUUAUGAGUAGUACUGUAUCGGUAGCCUAGUAUCGUAUCUCUUGUGAUGAUUAUACAUGUCUACUUGUCAUAUCUACUUUAUUUAGUUGUUGCAUUUGUCGUAUGCUUAAGCCUAGACAUGUCAUACUAGUAACCAUGCACGCCUUGUUACACUCCAUGUUAUAGUUAUUCUAGUGUUGCUUAUAUAUGCUUAACUUGUCGCACGUUAGUAUUAUGAAUGCUCUAUACUUGUUGCAAUAGUUGAUCACACGCAUAUGAUAGUUACCGUUCAUGUUAGUUGAGUUGUAUCUUUCUCAUAUGCUUAGUGUGCAUAGUUUGAUCUCUUGUUUAAGCAUGUGCCGAUCAUAUUAUUGCUAGUGGUUAUUUGGGUAUUAGUUCCUUAUUAUUAAAAGCAUAUCCUAGUUUAGUAUCUUAUCACGAUCAAUCGUAUGUGUGAUGCUUGUGUUAUUCGUUUAGACAUCUAGGGAAUCUACACUCACAUGCCUUGUGUGAGAUGUGUGUUAUUAUUAAGUUGUUUAAUUAGUUUCUACCUUAGUAUUGGUUUGUCUUCUUUUAUAGAAAGGCUUACUAAUAGUUGUUAUGAUUGAUGUUUAUUCUUUGCUUGUUGUUAACCAUUAUAAGUAUUUGGAUUCAUCUAGAUAUUUAUUAUUGGUUGAUUGUUAGUCUUAAUCAUAUCAUGCCUAGGAUAGUUGUUCAUCCAUUUGUUCCAUGUGUUGCAUAAUUUCUUGUUAAUUGUUUGAUAAAUGACUUGGUUUGUUAUAAUAGAGUUGAUCCUAUUUUAUAUUAAUAAUGUUAUAGGGUUAGACCUAGGUCAAUUCGAUUCAAGUUGUUGAGUGAUGUUUGAUUGCUUAAUUGGUAUGGUUUGUAAUGUUUGUUCGUUUGGCUUACGGAACUAUUGCCUUUCGAAUUAUUAUAUAGUUGAUGUAUAUGUUUGACUACUAUUGACCAUUAUAAAUAUUUAGAUUCUAUCUAAAUAUCUAUUUGUGGUUAACUAUUACCUUCAUCAUGUCAUGUUGUAAUUGUGUCGUUAAAUGCAUAGGAUGGUUCCUUUUCAUGUUUGUUGAUGCCAUUGUGUUUGUUAGAUAGUAGUCUCCUAUAUAGUUUGUCGAGAUGUGUAGUGGGUACUACUAGUGGUUAGUACCAUACUUCGUAUUAGAACGUUGGUCUUGAUCGUCAAGCCAUCCAUAGUUCUGUCAACCUAAACCUUCUCACUUCGUUGAAUCCUCUCUACUUACCUCCCUAUCAUGCUAUCUCAUUUCAGAAUCUCCAUCUGAUCGAUAUCUCGCUAUCCAUCCACUCUUAAUUUGUUUUGGAUUUUAUUUGGAUUUACUAUUGUUUUGGUAUUUAUUUGUUUUCCAUUUGCUAUCGUUACGACGAGUAGGGAGUGGCGAGGUUGGACAUGGACAGAAACAGGUUACCGAAGAAGGACUCAACAACGAAGGCAUGCCUCCUUCUUUGAUCAUAUUUAUCCUAUGUUUACAAAAUUGCAUUCUGUUUUAUGGUUACUAUAUGCAUGCUAUUUUAAUUCUCGUAGCUAGUGUGUCGAUUGACACAUUACCCUGAUCUGCUUGUCGCCUAUUCACUUGACACCCGAGUAGAAUUAUAUAGUAUUCUAGUAGAGUAGAAAUGCUUAGCCAUGCUUAUUACCCUAUAGGUGCUUUGCUGAAUGUCCUUUUAGUCAUUGACACUUGAAACUUAUUUCUUGAGCUCGCUGAGCUAGGCAAGUUGGCCUUGUUGACCUUCUCUAUCCUCUUCUACUCUGGGUGAAACUUACCAUCUGAAAACUGGCGCGGGCAACAGCUGAAUCAAGGAUUGAAGGAGCGAUUGGCUGCCCUUCACGAGUUGAAGGGGGCAAUCAGUCGUCCGUGCCGCUUAAGGCCUAAUAAGUCUUGGAUUUGAAGAUUGUGAUAACAGUACAGCCACAUGCUAUAUGGGCACUGGCUUGGUCAAGUAAGCUAGUCAGCCUUAGGUGUCGAUGUCGCUGUACCGCAGAUAGGAUAGCUGCCCUGCGGGGAGUAUCCUCGGCACAGAUGGGGGGACCGGUUUGAGGACGUACUCUCAGUUCCGUGCGCCAGACCCGGUGGGCAUGUCACAUCUUUGGGGGAUCUAGUCCAAAGACCUUGUCACAAUCUCCCUGCAGGUAUACCAGAUGGUGUACUACGCUAGCGACGGCUAGUGGCAACAAGUCGGGAUUGUGUCGUGUGGGUAAAGUGUACAACCUCUGCAUAGUGUAAAACUAUUCGAAUAGCCGUGUCCACGGCCAUGGACAAUACAUGAAUCUUUCUUGACAUACAUGACCUGUCUUGCUUAUUCCCUCUUUACCCCUAUUCUUGGAACCUAUGAAGAGUAUGAGUUGAUCGAGGAUCCUCACUUUGAUGAAAGUUAUUUUGGAGAUAAAACAUGUUUUCAUCUAAAACUGCUUUUAUCCAAUUGCUUUAUUUGUCAAACAAAAUUAGCUUUAUGCAAAUGAGCCAUACAACCUUCCUUUGAAGCCACAUGUAGUUAUUAGGACCUUCCCUGAGGGAGGCAUGUUGAGUAUGUAAUGUACUCAUGGCAAUAAUUUUGUUGACAUCAGAGUUCCAUGAAGACGAAGGUGAUGAUUAUGACAACUAUGGUGAUCUGUAGGAGUGAGGUGACGUGGACUACAUCGACUGCCUGUGGCUGAGAUGGAGUCGCUACGCAUUUGUACUUUCCGCUGUUUUCUGAUUGUAAUAAAUGUCCUCAGACAUUUCUCUAUAUGUAUAACUUGUGGCAAUAUUUAAUAAACUUGCAAUACAUUUACGUAUUAUGCAAUGAUACCAUUUCGCUGUGUUGUCAACAAUGAUCCUGGGGUUGACAAAUAUACAUAGGAGGGUCUGGAAAUUAAUUCCAGGUUCUCACAACCAUGAUCUUGCAUGUGCGUAGGAAAUUUUUGAAAUUACUACGUUCCCCAACACCCCCUCCCACUACAAAAAAAUACACUUCUGUGAUGAUACGUGUUUGUCACAGUAGGUCGCAUUUUCUGUCAUGCAUGUACAUCCAUGAUGAUUUUAUGACAGAAUCAAUAUAGUCAUACAUGUGUUGUCGUAGAAGUGUUUCAUGACAUUACCAAAAAAUUAUCAUCACGGAAGUGUCCACUUCCAUGACGAUAAAUCCCGCGUCACAGAAGUGCUUUCGUCAAGGAUGACCGACACGUGGCAUCCACCGUAACGGAACACCAUUAAGCUAUCGGGUCGGGUUUUGGAUCUGAUAACCCGUUAACAGCCCCGACCAAUGGGGAUUUUACACGUGUAAAAUCAUUAUUGGCUGGAGGAAACACGUGUCGGCUCAUCGUUGGGACAGAUGUCAUCCACUCAUUGGACAGAAGGCGCCUAUGAUACGUCGACACGUCGCACGGCCCAACAGAGGCCCAUUCCUGUGAAAAGGUCAGCCCGUUUGACUUGGUCAAAAGGUGGCGGGCUGGCCCAUGUAAAGCCUGUUAACGACAUGUUCGCAUAUAGCCCAUUUACAGCCCGCUAACCCAAGGCCCAUUACGCCCUAUCCGAAUUAGGCCCAGUAGCGUCAUCUGGGCCACCCAAUAUGAUUCCAGCCCGUUUUCACUUCUGGCCCAUGUAUGGCCCAUGAUGUCUUUCGGCCCAUAUGAGGCCCUAUGUAACUCUUGGCCUAUUAACGGCCCGUGGUGAAACUGGCCCGUAAUGAAUAGUGUAUCACUUUACACCCAUUAACGGCCCGUGGUGAAACUGGCCCGUAAUGAACAGUGUAUCACUUUAUACCCAUUAACGGCUCGUUAUUCUGUUGGGCCGUUUCCAUCCCAUGUUAUCUUUUGGCCUUCUCAGAGCCCAUUUAUUCUUGGGCUCAUUUCCUGCAUUCCUUUACUUACGGCCCGUUACUGUCAUUUUCUGCUUGUGGGCCAAAUUCAGCCCGUGGUUACAGUCGGCCCGUUUGUGGUCCGUUAAUACGUUGGGCCAUUUUCAUAGCGUCAUCAAAUACGGCCUAUUAACGAUGGCCCGUUAUGGUCGGCCCAUGAACGGACGAUUCCAACUCUAGCCCAUUUACGGUCAUAAUGCGGUCUGUUUGGCCCAUGUUUGGCCAAUUGAUCAUACGGCCGUAUAAGGCCCAUUGAUGAUAUGGCCCACAGAAGGCCCAUUGUUUCUACGGCCGUAGAAGGCCCAUUGUUUCUACGGCCCGUAGAAGGCCCACUGUUUCUACGGCCAAUAGGAGGCCCAAUGUCACUACAGUAAAUAUUAGCCCAUGGUUAUUGUGGCCUAGUUUUAAAAAAUAGGUUAUUGCAGCCACUAGCUAACCACGGAAAAAGAACUGCAAUGACUACAAGCAAACAAAUAAACAAGACAACAAGGAAAUAAAUAAGCAAGCAACUAACGCUAGGCUAUCACGGCUAUUACACAUAUUACAUCCAUUGGGCAUCAAAGUUCGCCACCACUACAAAUAUAGGGAACAAAGCAGCAUAUCAUAUAUACUGGUUGUCAAAGUUGGCGACCAACACAAAUAAACGCCGCAGCAAAACAAAUCCAGAACUGAAACCACUUCAGAAGAUCUCAAGAAACAAUAUCCUGGGUACCCAUAAUGCUGGCAAGAUGCUUAGCAAGCUUAUUAACUUUCUCUUGUUUGGCGCUUAAAUCCUCCAGUGCUUGAUGUUGCACCAGAAAAUAUGCAUCUAAAUUCUGCAGGGACUUCCUCAGUACUUCAGCUUCCUGUCGCAGCACAUCUGAUUGAUGUCUUUCAACUUGAAGUUGAGACUCAAGAAGACGAACUGAUUCAGGCAGCGAGUUCGAAGAGCUUGUGCCAGCAGUAGUCGCCAGUAACUCGAACACUACAUCAAGACAGGACUUUUGGGUUCCCUCACCAUCGUCAAGAUAGUUUUUAUCAUCUUCCUUGGAGACCAACAGGGAUGUCUCACUAUCCUGAACCUUAUCUACAUUACUUCCUUUACCAUUGGAUAACGCGGUACUGUUCUCCAAUAUUUUGUAUGUAUUCUAAAAGAGAAACAAGCAGACACAUCACAUGUUUACCAUGUUGUAUAUGAAACUCAUUUUGGUAAAUGAGUUCAGUAGUAAAGUGGACAGGAUAACAGCAUGAAACAAACAUAUAUCUAUGUACCAUGGUCACUUUAUGGUCUAUAUCAUUCUAGUUUUUGUUGCCAAAUCAAGAUAGAGACACAGUUCAAAUAAUAUUUGUUCAAGACAAAGCAGAAUAGACAGAAUAUAAGUGUGGGUAACUAUAGAGCAAUAACAACACUUGUAAUGUGCAUGACAUGAGAACAUAACUGUUUAUUCAAUUGGAACUGAAAUCAACAUAGAGCAGGUUACAACAGCAAACCAGUUAAAGAAACAGGUUUAAAACAUACCUGUUGCGCCAUUGGAGUUUCAAUUCCAUCCUUCAAAUUUGAAAAUAGUUGGUAUGAGUAAAUACAGUAAUGCAAGAGCAAAGGAGUAUGAACCAUAGCUACAAAACCUGACCUAAGAACAAAUCUUCUUCUCCCUUAAGCGUUGAGUUGGGAUUCGGAGUGGUGGUCCUCGUGCUUUGGGCACUGCAGUUCCCUUACUAAUUGCUCGUGUUUGGGUGCUCUAUGGUGGAGACGGUGUUGUGUCAACUGGAACUGGGUUACUAUCUGCCGGGGUUGGGGUUAGAAGGGAUGUAGCUGGUUCUCUGUCCAACUGGGUAGGGGUACAACCUGCGAGAGUCUGGGUUAUGUGUGGUGGAUCUGGUCCUUGGGCAAGUACAACCGUGGUUCUAUCUGCAUCAACUGGUAGCACUAUCUUUUUUGAAGACCGUGUUGUUACUCCCUUAGAUACUGCCAUCACGCUCUCCAAUUCAAAUGGCUGAUAAACAAGAAAAGUAAGUGAAAGUAUAGACAUUGUAUGAUAGACAUGUGCAAUGGAUAGUGGGGAAUAAAAGAGGGCAUGAAAUAAUUCAUAUUUAUGUUGUCUAACCAAAUAGGAUAGCAUGACACAAUUUCACAUAUAUGAUGGGUAACUAAACAGGAUAGCAUGACACAAUUUCACAUUAUGAUGGCUAACUAAAAAAGAUGGAAAGACAUAGUUCAAAAUAUGAGACUAUGUAAACAUGAUGACAUGUCAUAACUAUAUAAUGUGUUUAUUAAAUAGGUUGGCAUGCCAUAAUUCACAUACAUUCACGGAUAGAAUGCCAUAAUUCAAAAUAUGAUGACUGUAAACACUAAACAGGAUGAGAUGAUAUAACUAUAUGAUGUCUUUAUUAAAUGGGUUGCCAUGCCAUAAUUCAGAUAGAUGAUGUGUAUGUACUAUGUAAACAUGAUGGCAUGAUAUAAUUCAAAUAUAUGAUUUAUAUAGUAAGCAAGUAAGCAGAUGGCAAUCCAUAUAUGAUGUAAAAACUAAGCAAUGCAAGACAACAUGCAUGACAUGGGUAAUAUAACCCUGCCAAGUUUGAGCAUAGACCUCAGGGGGGGAAUAGGACUGGUCAUCAGUCUCUGAAUCCUCCUCUGAGGAGCUCUCUGUAACCAGCAAGAUGUCUGCUUCAGCAGGUAGCAUUGUCUGCUCUGAAUACCUUGUUUUCACUCCAGAUACUUCCAUCACCGCUUCAAAUGGCUGAUGCACAGGAAGAGUAGUUGAAUAUACAAACAUUGUCGACAAAUGGAACACGUAAUACAAAAAAUGAUAGCAUGAUAUAAUUCACAUACAUGAUGAUUGGCUAAACAGCAUGGCAUUGCAUAAUUCACAUAUAUAAUGCCUUUGCAACAAGAUAGCAUUGUAUAAUUCACAUAUAUAAUGUCUUGCAACAAGAUGGCAAUGCAUAAUUCACAUAUAUGGUAAUUAGACACUGAACAUGUGGCAUUCACACAAAGCAUGUCUAAACUAAUCAAAUGACAUAGCAAUGUGAGACACCAUACGCACGAUAUGAGCAACAUAACCCUGCCAAGUUAGAGCAUACACCUCGGGGGGAAUAUGACUAGUCAUCUGUCUCUGAAUCCUCCUCUGAUGAGCUAUCCGUAACCAGCGAGAUAUGUGCUUCAUUAGAUAGCAUACUCUGCUCUGAAGACCUUGUUUUCACUCCAGAAUUUUCCAUCACCGUGUCAAAUGGCUGAUGCACACGAAGAGCAGUUGAAUGUACUAACAUUGUUGACAAAUGUAAUAUGUAACGAAAAAAGGAUGGCCUGAUAUAAUUUACAUAUAAGAUGACUGGUUAAGCAGGAUGGCAUUGCAAAAUUCACAUAUAUGAUGCCUGGCUAAACAAGAUGGUGUUGCAUAAUUCACAUAAACGAUGAAUAAACUAAACAGAUGGCAUUCGCACAAAGGAUGUCUAAACUAAGCAGAUGACAUAUUUGAUGUAUAAAGUAAGCAAUGCAAGACACCAUAUGCAUGAUAUAACCAACAUCAGCAUGCCAAGUUAGAGCGAAGACCUCAGGGGGUAAGUAGGAGUUGUCUUCUCCUUCUGAAUCCCCCUCAGAACAGAUAUCUUCCUCUCGAUUACAAUCCGAAAUGCAUGGAGGGGGGGCUGACUUUGCGCCUACCAUGGAGCGACGUCUGCAUGAAAUUUUAUUGCCACACAAGGCUCUUCUCUUUUGCUCUACAUGUUCAGUUCCAUUGUUUACAAUAACUGUCAUGCAUAGGAAUAAAACAUAGUGAGAUUAUGUAAGGAGUGCAUGCAGAAAUCCAGAGUGAUGGUAGCAACCUGUGGAUAGACCCAAAACCAAUAAUAGCAGGUAGAUAAUGGCUUCAGUUAAAAAAUAUAGAUAAUGGCUUCUUUACUAUUUGUUUCCCACCCAACAUGAAACUCAUAGUAGACACCGGAGAUUAACCAGAUAGUAGUUAGAUACUAUUGAUAGCGGCCCCGAUAUGUACCCCACAACCAUUUAAAAACUCAAGUUUGACCAUUAGUUUGGAGCUAACUCGGAGUCUAAUCGGUGAACAGGACGAUAAAGUAGCAUGUAAUGUUAAGCGAUGCAUAACGUAAGCAGACACAAAAGAGUGCAACCUCUCUUGCGGACCCGUGUAGUCCUCGAUGUCAUCUGCUCGGUUGAUGAUGGUAAUGCAGUUUUCAUGGCUGCCAGCAGCAGGGAAGAAGAUCUGAGGCGGCGAAAGACAGUCCGGAGGUCGGAUCCCUGCUGUGCUGGACCCUUCUAUCGUUGGAGCGGCUGAGCUGGGGUGGACGACGGCGCAGCAGGAGCAGGACAAACCACGCAAGGUUUUCUUUGACAACUAUCUGUAAGAGAAGUAAUUCUAUAAGGGCUCGUUUGAAUUGGAGGAUUCCAACAAUGCAAGGAUAGGAAAUAGACAGGAAUAGGACAGGAAUGCACGUGCAAAACAGAGAAUUUAAAAACACAGGAUUUCUGCCAAUCUGGGUGUUUGAUUCACAACAAUUGGAAGAUCACAGGAUGCAAAGAAGCAUGGUGAGAUUAAGUCAAACCACAAGAAAAUGUACGGUUAUAAUGCUAUUAUGCUACUAUCUCUUAGUCUUGUGCUUCAUGAAUAGGAAUUUGAAAAGGAGGACAAGUGAAAAUUAAAAUUCCUACGUUUUUCUUUCAAGGAGACACUAAAGGAACAAAUACGUGUGCUCAGUGGACAAUAUAUAUAACAUGUACAGUAAAAAAGAGAUGCAACAAGUGUACAACCUCUUUGGCAAAGCCAUGUCGAUCUCAGCGUGAUUGGGUUGGCCGGUCAGGAUGCUCCGGCUGACUUUGCUAUCGGAGGAGGGGAAGAAGAUCUUAGGCAUCUGGAGAUGGAGCCCGAGGUACUGCUCCGCUGUGAUGGAGGGUUUCGUUGUUGGAGCAGCUUCGGUGAGUUGUACGAUGCCGAGGCUGAAGCAGGAUAAGAGAGACAACGAACAACGUUAACCUGAGUGGAAUUCUAAUAGCAUCUCCAAUACAUGAUGUAAAAUACAUAACCACAAAGUGCUAGAUGUAAAAUACAUCAGCCGCUCAUCUCUGAACUUAACUGUCGAAACUGAAUUUAACUGUCGAAACUGAACUUAACUGUCGAAACUGAACUUAACUGUUGAAACUGAACUUAACUGUCGAAACUGAACGCACUAGCAAGGUGAGGCUACAUGUCGGUCGACUGACUUUUUCAUCUCUGGUCAGUCGAUUUUGCAGCCGUUGGAUACGAAUCAAGGGCAUGCAGUUCAUCUUCAACCUCCACCCCCCCUGAGCCGCCAGCCACCACCGGCCAAACAGCAGCCCCCCGCCGCCCGCCGCCCGCGGCCGGCGGUGCGCCGCCCUGCCCGCCCCAANNNNNNNNNNNNNNNNNNNNNNNNNNNNNNNNNNNNNNNNNNNNNNNNNNNNNNNNNNNNNNNNNNNNNNNNNNNNNNNNNNNNNNNNNNNNNNNNNNNNNNNNNNNNNNNNNNNNNNNNNNNNNNNNNNNNNNNNNNNNNNNNNNNNNNNNNNNNNNNNNNNNNNNNNNNNNNNNNNNNNNNNNNNNNNNNNNNNNNNNNNNNNNNNNNNNNNNNNNNNNNNNNNNNNNNNNNNNNNNNNNNNNNNNNNNNNNNNNNNNNNNNNNNNNNNNNNNNNNNNNNNNNNNNNNNNNNNNNNNNNNNNNNNNNNNNNNNNNNNNNNNNNNNNNNNNNNNNNNNNNNNNNNNNNNNNNNNNNNNNNNNNNNNNNNNNNNNNNNNNNNNNNNNNNNNNNNNNNNNNNNNNNNNNNNNNNNNNNNNNNNNNNNNNNNNNNNNNNNNNNNNNNNNNNNNNNNNNNNNNNNNNNNNNNNNNNNNNNNNNNNNNNNNNNNNNNNNNNNNNNNNNNNNNNNNNNNNNNNNNNNNNNNNNNNNNNNNNNNNNNNNNNNNNNNNNNNNNNNNNNNNNNNNNNNNNNNNNNNNNNNNNNNNNNNNNNNNNNNNNNNNNNNNNNNNNNNNNNNNNNNNNNNNNNNNNNNNNNNNNNNNNNNNNNNNNNNNNNNNNNNNNNNNNNNNNNNNNNNNNNNNNNNNNNNNNNNNNNNNNNNNNNNNNNNNNNNNNNNNNNNNNNNNNNNNNNNNNNNNNNNNNNNNNNNNNNNNNNNNNNNNNNNNNNNNNNUGAAGUGUAGCUAAAUCAGAGCAGCAUCGCAAGCAAGAGCAAGAGUGAGAGCAGCAGCGCGAGCAAGAGCAAUAGCAAGAGCAGACCAGGCAAGGGACCGAGAGCAAGAGCAGAGCAGCAGCGCGAGCGAGAGCUAAAGCAGCAGUAGCUCCUACUGAUGUGGAUGUCGCCGCUGAGGGAGCGACACCGUGGAGGAAGUGGCCGGCAACGCCGUCGUGGAUGGAGUCGCGCCGUGUCGGCUCGGGACCGAGCGCUGGCAGCACUGUGAGAUCGAAUCAAGAAGAAAAUGCGGCGAUUAGUGUACAACCUCUCUGGUGGCGCCGAUUAGGCCGCAGCUUCAUCCGAGGAAACGGUGAUGAUGAUGCUCUUCCGAUGGUGCAGGUGAAGAUGGCGGUGUGGGAAUGGAGGUGGCGCGAAAGACGAGGGGAAUGUCGGGGCAACUCCUUGGAGGUGGAGGACGGGGUGGCUGAUCCGGCGGGACGAUGAGAUUGAUGACGGAUCCUCAUCCGGUACGGUGGAUGAGGGACAUUGAGGUGUUGCUGUGGACGACGUCGUCGGGGAAGAGGCUCCGGCUGGGUGGCGGACGGAGCAGUGUGUGGGGUUUCGUCGUGGGUUUUCGCGGCCUCGGUGUACGAAUGUGUGGGCGGAUGGGAUGGCAGUGGGGAACCAUGGCUUAGAGACGCGCUUGUCUGAAAUGUGGGGUAAGUUACGAAAGAACCCCCACCAAUUUGAGGCAGUUCUUUCGGUUCAGGGGUACCACGGGUAUUUCGCGUGUCGGGAUUUCACAGGAGGUGGGAGUUUUUGCGCGCGUUUUAAUUUCGGAAUAGCAAGGCGUGGGUUGAGAUGGAGGGAGUUGUCGGAGCACAACGAGACAAAAGAUAUAUCUUAAAUAUUUUGGGCUAACAAGGCGCGGGUUGAAAUUUCCAGACAAGCCUAACGUGUACUGUACCAAAACAAUGCGCACUACAAAUGUCAUUCAAAACUUUGAAUUCAUGUUAUGUUCAAUUAAAAUAUUUCACUACGUGUAUAAUGCAUGCAACCUACAACUCAAAUGAACGUUUUAGUGCAUUCCAAACAUAUAUACUACCGCUUCAAUAUGAACUAAAUCUGAAUUCGUUUCUCUAUUUGAAUAAGAUCUACAGUAAUGAUUGUUGUGAAGUCAAAGCAUUUGAAUUCGUUUCUCUGUUUUAAUAAGAUCUACAAUCAUCAUUAUUGUCAAGUUAAACCAUCGUUUGUGUAUUAUCUUCACAGCACACCACAUGAUUAGUCUCGAGUUACAUAUGAACUAUGUGUACUAUAUGAACUCGAACUAGAUUUUUUUAGUCCACUUUAUUUUGAUUUCAAAUCACAUUACAUUUCUAGCUUGAAAGGAUCGAGAAGAGGUGUCUAGAGGGGGGUGAUUAGACACUAAGUGCCAAAAGUUGCAGUUUUUAAAAUUCUUAAGUUUAUGUGGAGUUUAAGCACAAGUUUAACAAACACAAUACAUAUCAAGCAAGCAUGCAAUGAGUAUAUGAGCAGCGGAAAGUAAAGCAUGCAACUUGCAAGAAUGUAAAGAGAAGGGUUUGGAGUAUUCAAACGCAAUUGGAGACACGGAUGUUUUUGUCGUGGUUCCGAUAGGUGGUGCUAUCGUACAUCCACGUUGAUGGAGACUUCAACCCACGGAGGGUAACGGUUGCGCGAGUCCCGGAGGGCUCCACCCAUGAAGGGUCCACAAAGAAACAACCUUGUCUAUUCCAUCACGGCCGUCACCCACGAAGGACUUGCCUCACUAGCGGUAGAUCUUCACGAAGUAGGCGAUCUCCUUGCCCUUACAAACUCCUUGGUUCAACUCCACAAUCUUGUUGGAGGCUCCCAAGUGACACCUAGCCAAUCUAGGAGACACCACUCUCCAAGAGGUAACAAAUGGUGUGUUGAUGAUGAACCCCUUGCUCUUGUGCUUCAAAUGAUAGUCUCCCCAACACUCAACUCUCUCUCACAGGAUUUGGAUUUGGUGGAAAGAAGAUUUGAGUGGAAAGCAACUUGGGAAAGGCUAGAUAUCAAGAUUCAUAUGGUUGGAAUGGAAUAUCUUGACCUCAACACAAGUGUAGGUGGUUCUCUCUCAGAAAAUGUGUAUUGGAAGUGUAGGUAUGUUCUGAUGGCUCUCUCCACGAAUGAAGAGUGGGUGGAGGGGUAUAUAUAGCCUCCACACAAAAUCUAACCGUUACACACAAUUUGCCAAGCUCGGUGGGACCGAAUGGUUAAACUCGGUCGGACCGAUUCAGCAAACCUAGUGACCGUUAGGAUUUUCGGUGGGACUGAGAUGCAACUUGGUAGGACCGAUAUGGUUAGGGUUAGGGCAUAACGUAAUCUCGGUGUGACCGAUUACACAAACUUGGUGGGACUGAUUUUGGUAAUAAGCUAACCAGAGAGUUGGUCAGGAAAACUCGGUGAGACCGAUUACACAAACUAGGUGGGACCGAUUUUGGUAAUAAGCUAACCAGAGGGUUUGCAUUGUAAUCUCGGUAGUACCGAUUGCUCAAACUCGGUGAGACCGAUUUUGGUAAUGGACAUACACAGAGAGAUUACAAUCCCAUCUCGGUGAGACCGAGAUCCCUAUCGGUGAAACCGAUUUGCUAGGGUUUGUGGCAGUGGCUAUGACAUCUGAAACUCGCUGGCGCCGGAUAGAUAGAAUCGGUGGGGCCGAGUUUCAUAUGUGGAUGUGGGAAGGUAGUUGAGGGUUUUGGAGCAUAUCACUAAGCACUUUGAGCAAGCAAGCCAUUAAGCAACACCUCAUCCCCUCUUGAUAGUAUUGGCUUUUCCUAUAGACUCAAUGUGAUCUUGGAUCACUAAAAUAGAAAAUGUAGAGUCUUGAUCUUGAAGCUUGAGCCAAUCCUUUGUCCUUAGCAUCUUGAAGAGGUUCCACAUCCUCUAGUCCAUGCCACUCCAUUGUUGAACUUAUCUGAAACAUACUAGGUAAAAGUGUUAGUCCAACAAGAGAUAUGUUGACAUUAAUUACCAAAACCACCCAGAGAGCACUUGUGCUUUCAAUCUCCCCCUUUUUGGUAAUUGAUGACAACAUACAUCAAAGCUUUAGAUAAAUAUAUAGAGAAUAGCAAGUAAAGCUUUGGAAAGACAUGUAACAUGCAUAGGCUCCCCCUACAUGUAUGCAAUCAUGUGAAUAUUGAAUAUAGGAGCAUGUGAAUGCGUAAACAUGACAGAGUAAGCAAUGUGUUACAUGUAUCUUGGCUAUAUGCAUCAGAGCAAAUGAUGUGAAUGUGAGAAAUGUACCUUCAUGCUCAUGCGUCCUUCUUGCAAACAGUAUGUACAUCAGCAAGAAUUUCUCAUUCACAUGACUGUGAUGCAUAUACUUACCUUUUGGUCUUGAGUUGGCUUAGGAUGGGAUGAACCUGCGCAAACAAGGUUAAAUAACACAGAUACACCUACUGACCAGAGCAAGCAAGAGAAACCACAAGAGAACCAAGACUGGGAUGACAUGUAGAGUGAGUACUAAGUACCACAUUGGAUACAGACAUGUCCCCAAAGGUAAAGAUAUGCAAUAAAAUCAGAGAUUUCCUUCCCUUAGAUGUCUUGCUCCCCCUGAAUCUACAUGGGAUAUUGGGAGAAGAUAGGGAACAGAAAAUCAGAGCAACAAAAAAGGAAACAACAGAGCUUGAGCUAAAGCAAGCAACCAAACAUGUCUUUCCCCUCUUAAAGACAUGUGACAUCUCUCCUCUUGAACACCAAGCAUCUGGGUCUUUGAUGAUAUUACUUUCUCCUAGUUGAGAAACUCUCUCCCCCUGAGUAUUCUCUCUUUCUCCCCCUAUAGGAAGGAUUAAGCUUUGAUGUGAUCUCUCUCUCCCCCUUUGACAUCAAUUUCCAAGAAGGGCUCUUCUGGACAUGUGAUACAAAUGGGUUGGUCCUCGAGUCACAGAGCAAAGCAGCAUGUCUAAUAUGAUGCUGGUAGAGGACAAGAAUCAUUGAGUAGAGCUGGAGCAAACAGAAAUCAGGAAUAAGUGACAAGUUGGUUUUCUUGUGGUGGAAUCGGUGACUCCGAGUUGUGUGCUUUGGUUGCACCGAAAGAUUUCGGUUGGGCCGAAGAGAACAAACCGGUGUGACCGAGUUCAUUAGAGUGAAACCACUUGUCACCUCAGCUCACUAGACAAGUAAGAUCUCACAAGGAUAUGCAAGGAAUUUACUGAAAGAUUUGCAAUGAAUUGGAUGCAGAAAAUGCAAAACAAAAAGGAAAGAAAAGAAACUAAAAGUUCUAGAUGAAGUUUUUUUGAAAGGGGAAACAAAUAUGCAAGAUACAAAAGCAUGGAGAGACACACGAGAACUUCAUCUAGAGAUGGUCAGCGACAAAGUCACCUAUGUUAGAGUAUAUUGACUUAGAAGUCAAGUGAGAGCACUUGAUCAUAGGUCAUACUCGUCGUUUAAGCUCAAAAUGGGGUUACCAUUUUCGUUUAAGCCUUUUGAUGUAUUCACAUCUUGUCGAGUUGCUUUGACUCAUGACUUGGAGUAAAGCUUCUCUAAGAUGGAAUAACAUACCUUGGGUGGUGGUGUUGAUCUUGCUCAUGUAGUUGAACUUGUGUGGGUUGCUCAAGGUUGAUGUAGUUCAUCAAGGGUUGGGAGCACCACUUGGAGUUUGAGUUCAUCUACCUACAUGGGUUAGCUUUGCAAGGAAGAGCACUUGUGUAUCCAAAAUGACAAUCAUGAGACUCAACAUAGAAUUUGCCAAAGGAUAUGUUUGAAUGGUUUCGUGCUUCCUUGUCUUCAACCACAAUUGUGUAGAGACUUGGUGAUGUAGAGAUUGCUCAAGAUGUGAGUGAGUUGCAAUCUCAUGGAUUUAGAUUCAACCAAGUACCUACACGGGUUAGAUAACAUGCAAGGUACAAAUAUAUCCAAGACAUAUGAAUAGCAUCAUAAGAGAAAUAUCAAGGAUUAGUCAUAGGCUCAUGCCCCGCAUGUAUCAAAUGGAGUUCCUACUCCAAGUUUGAAGCAUCAAUGAUGUUCAAUUCACCUCUCAACAUGCAAAACACUUUCUCAUCAAGUGGUUUAGUGAAUAUAUCCGCCAAUUGCUUAUCGGUGCGAACAUGCUUAAGGUUAAUGUCCCCUUUUGCAACAUGAUCUCGAAUGAAAUGAUGACGAACUUCAAUAUGCUUAGUUCGAGAAUGUUGCACGGGAUUGUGAGCAAUCUUAAUAGCACUUUAAUUUUCACAUAGCAAUGGAACAUGUUUCACAUAUAUCCCAUAAUCUUUAAGAGUUUGGGUCAUCCAAAGUAAUUGAGCACAACAUGAACCAGCGGCAAUGUAUUCCGCUUCGGCGGUGGAUAAGGAUACCGAGUUUUGUUUCUUGGAAGACCAAGAGACAAGAGAUCUACCAAGGAAUUGACAAGUACCCGAAGUGGAUUUUCUAUCAACCUUGUCUCCGGCAUAGUCCGAAUCGGAGUAGCCAACAAGAUCAAAAGAGGACCUCUUAGGAUACCAAAUGCCAAAAUUUGGUGUAUGGAUUAGGUAUCUCACUAUCCUUUUCAUAGCCUUAAGAUGACACUCUUUAGGAGCAGCUUGAUAUCGUGCACACAUGCACACACUUAGCAUAAUAUCGGGACUAGAGGCACAUAGAUAUAACAAUGAACCAAUCAUAGAGCGAUAAAUCUUUUGAUCAACCGGUUCACCAUCUUUGGUCAAAUCAAGAUGUCCACUAGUAGGCAUGGGUGUAGUCAUACCUUUGCAUUCUUGCAUAUUGAACUUCUUGAAUAAGUCCUUGGUGUAGUUCGUUUGAGAGACAAAGUUGCCUUCCUUAGUUUGCUUGAUUUGCAAACCGAGAAAGAAUUUGAGUUCACUCAUCAUAGACAUCUCAAACUUCUCCGACAUUAGCUUUCCAAACUUCUCACUAAAAUGAGGGUUAGUUGAACCAAAUAUGAUAUCAUCAACAUAAAUUUGGCACACAAAUAGUUCUCCAUUAACCCUUUUAGUAAAAAGAGUAGAAUCAAUUUUACCAAUUUCAAAGCCUUUUUCAAUAAGGAACUUGGUCAAGCAUUUAUACCAUGCUCUAGGAGCUUGUUUAAGACCAUAAAGGGCUUUGUGAAGUUUGUAAACAUGAUUAGGUUUCUUAGGAUUAAGGAAGCCGGGAGGUUGCUUAACAUAAACUUCCUCCUCAAUUUUGCCAUUUAGAAAAGCACUUUUAAUGUCCAUUUGGUACAAGGUGAUAUCAUGGUGAUUAGCAUAAGCAAGUAAGAUGCGAAUGGACUCAAGUCUAGCAACGGGAGCAUAUGUCUCACCAUAGUCCAUACCUUCAACUUGUGUGUAGCCUUGGGCGACGAGACGUGCUUUGUUGUGAACUACUUGUCCAUCUUCAUCUUGCUUGUUGCGAAACACCCAUUUGGUACCAAUGAUGUUGUGGUUGUUGUCGGGCUUCUCGACCAAUGUCCACACUUGAUUUCUCUCAAAGUUGUGUAGCUCUUCAUGCAUAGCAUUUAUCCAGUCUGGAUCCUCCAAUGCUUCUUCAACCUUCAUAGGUUCAAUGCUAGAGAUGAAUGAGUAAUGUUCACAAAAGUUAGCUAAACGAGUUUUAGGGUGAGUGAUUCUCCCGGUUUGGAUAUCAUUGUAGAUUUGCUCGACGGGAUGAUCCUUAGCAAUUCUUGCUCGAACUCGUGAAAGCUUUUGCUUGGGUCGGGGUGGAACAUCCUAUUCAUCUUGUGCUUCUUCUUGGCCUUCUUCAUUGUUGACGUUGUCGUUCUCUUGUCGUGGUGGAGAAGGAGGUUGUUGAUGUUCAUCUUGGUGCGCUUCCUUGUUUUCUUCAUCUUGGCGUGUCCCACUUGUGGAUGCUUCCGUAUCAACUCUUGGUUCACCUUGUCGUGAGGUAGAAGCUUCCACUUGGACGGACGAGGUACUCUCCUUCACUUCCGUUGGACGAAUCUUGCCAAUGGACAAGUCUUGAAUUGCUUCUGAAGGGUCUUUGUCUCCUACAUCAAUUGGCAAUUGCUCUACUUGUGAGCCGUUAGAUUCAUCAAACUUCACAUCUACCGUCUCUUCAACCUUUCGGGUGAAAUUGUUGUAGACACGGUAAGUGUGAGAGUUUGAGCCAUAACCAAGUAGGAAACCUUCAUGAGAUUUAGGAGCAAAUUUAGAACGAUGAUGCUUAUCAAGAAUGUAGCACUUUGAGCCGAAUACUCGAAAGUAUCCAACUUCGGGUUUGUUACCGGUGAGGAGCUCGUAUGCCGUCUUGUCGAGUAGCUUGUGAAGAUACAAGCGAUUUGUUGCAUGACAAGCUGUCUCAACCGCUUCCGCCCAAAAGUGCUUUGGCGUUUUGUACUCAUCAAGCAUCGUUCUUGCCAUCUCGAUAAGAGUCUGGUUCUUCCUUUCAACAACUCCAUUUUGUUGAGGUGUGUACGUAGCCGAGAACUCGUGUGAAAUCCCUUCUUCGUCAAGAAAGGUGUCCACAUUUAUGUUCUUGAACUCCGUUCUGUUGUCGCUCCGAACCUUCUUGAUCUUCAUGUCAAACUGAUUUUGGGCCUUCCUAGCGAAGUUUUUGAAGAUCUUUUGGACCUGCGAUUUGUCAUCAAGAAAGAACACCCACGUAAAUCUUGAAAAAUCAUCAACUAUGACUAGACCAAAUGAGUUACCACCAAGACUCUUGUAGGCAUUUGGACCAAAGAGAUCCAUGUGAAGUAGCUCGAGUGGUCUUCUUGUGGUCAUGAUGUUCUUCGCGCGAUGACUUCCUCCAACUUGUUUCCCUGCUUGACAAGCACUACAAAGUCUAUCCUUGUCAAAUAUGACAUCUUUUAUUCCAAGGAUAUGAUCACCUUUAAUAAGCUUAUCAAGAUUUCGCAUACCAACAUGACCUAGUCUUCUAUGCCACAACCAGCCUUUAGAAGAUUUGGUAAUUAAGCAAGUUCUAGGUUGAGCCUUUUUAGUGAAAUCAACAAUGUAAAGAUCUCCUCUACGUAUACCGGUAAAGACCAUUUUAUGAUUGUCUCUACGAAACACUUGGCAAUCUAUUUCAGUGAAUAAGACAUUGAAACCGAAAUCCGCAAGUCUAGAAACUGAAAGUAAAUUGUAUCCAAGGGUUUCAACGAGCAUGACAUUUUGUAUGGAGCUAUCAUGUGAGAUGGACACCUUACCAAGGCCAACCACCUUACCCUUUGAAUUAUCACCAAAGGUGACAUAUUUUCGAGGGCCAUCGUUUUCAGCAAGCUCAUAGAACAUAUCUUUAUCUCCGGUCAUAUGAUCAGUACAUCCACUAUCAAGGACCCAUUCCUUUCCUCCAGCCAUAUAGCCGUGAAGAUUUGCCAUAAGACCAAAAUGCCUCAUUGCACCAUCAAGAUCAUAGUCACUAUCAUCAUCUUCAUCAUAGUAUCCAUGUUCAACAUCAUCUUGUGAUUGAUCAAUUCCUAGAGAGGGUAAUUCAUUAGAUAAAUGAUCAUCACAAUGGUUACCUUUAUGAAUUCUAAUAGCUUCGGAUAUGAUAUCGCUAAUGAUUCCAACAUUUCCUUUAGCAUGCAUGAGAUUGGUAAGCUCAAAUAGACAAUCACCAAAGCUAGGAUCACUAGAGUUCAUCUUACUCAAGGCAAUAGACUUAUGGAGAAUUUCGUCUAAAUUUUUCAAGGAAUAAUCUGGAAAUCGUUCCUCAAGAAAUCUCCAUAUGGUGUAGGCACACUUGAGAGUAGGCAAACAUCUAAUCAAGUUUCUAGGCAAGCCUCUAAUGAUGAGCUCAACAGUUCUAAGAUUGCGAAUCAUGUCAAUAUCUUCAUCUAGGGUAGGGUGCAAAGGAUCAACAUGAGGUGCACAAGGGCUAGUAAUGUACUUGUUCAAAUGAUAUUCAUUGAAAAUCUCAAGCAUUUCAUUUUUCCACUCAUGAAAAUACUCUCCAUCAAGAAUAGGCACUCUAUGUCUAAGACUUCCAAAGUAGACACAUCCAUCUUCCUCCAAUGGUGUUUAAACCAAGGCAAUGUAAACCAAAGCUCUGAUACCAAUUGAAAGGAUCGAGAAGAGGUGUCUAGAGGGGGGGUGAUUAGACACUAAGUGCCAAAAGUUGCAGUUUUUAAAAUUCUUAAGUUUAAGUGGAGUUUAAGCACAAGUUUAACAAACACAUUACAUAUCAAGCAAGCAUGCAAUGAGUAUAUGAGCAGCGGAAAGUAAAGCAUGCAACUUGCAAGAAUGUAAAGAGAAGGGUUUGGAGUAUUCAAACGCAAUUGGAGACACGGAUGUUUUUGUCGUGGUUCCGAUAGGUGGUGCUAUCAUACAUCCACGUUGAUGGAGACUUCAACCCACGGAGGGCAACGGUUGCGCGAGUCCACGGAGGGCUCCACCCACGAAGGGUCCACGAAGAAGCAACUUUGUCUAUUCCAUCACGGCCGUCGCCCAUGAAGGAAUUGCCUCACUAGCGGUAGAUCUUCACGAAGUAGGCGAUCUCCUUGCCCUUACAAACUCCUUGGUUCAACUCCACAAUCUUGUUGGAGGCUCCCAAGUGACACCCAGCCAAUCUAGGAGACACCACUCUCCAAGAGGUAACAAAUGGUGUGUUGAUGAUGAACCCCUUGCUCUUGUGCUUCAAAUGAUAGUCUCCCCAACACUCAACUCUCUCUCACAGGAUUUGGAUUUGGUGGAAAGAAGAUUUGAGUGGAAAGCAACUUGGGAAAGGCUAGAGAUCAAGAUUCAUAUGGUUGGAAUGGAAUAUCUUGACCUCAACACAAGUGUAGGUGGUUCUCUCUCAGAAAAUGUGUAUUGGAAGUGUAGGUAUGUUCUGAUGGCUCUCUCCACGAAUGAAGAGUGGGUGGAGGGGUAUAUAUAGCCUCCACACAAAAUCUAACCGUUACACACAAUUUGCCAAGCUCGGUGGGACCGAAUGGUUAAACUCGGUCGGACCGAUUCAGCAAACCUAGUGACCGUUAGGAUUUUCGGUGGGACUGAGAUGCAACUUGGUAGGACCGAUAUGGUUAGGGUUAGGGCAUAACGUAAUCUCGGUGUGACCGAUUACACAAACUAGGUGGGACCGAUUUUGGUAAUAAGCUAACCAGAGGGUUUGCAUUGUAAUCUCGGUAGUACCGAUUGCUCAAACUCGGUGAGACCGAUUUUGGUAAUGGACAUACACAGAGAGAUUACAAUCCCAUCUCGGUGAGACCGAGAUCCCUAUCGGUGAAACCGAUUUGCUAGGGUUUGUGGCAGUGGCUAUGGCAUCUGAAACUCGGUGGCGCCGGAUAGAUAGAAUCGGUGGGGCCGAGUUUGACUUUUGGUUUAGGUCAUAUGUGGAUGUGGGAAGGUAGUUGAGGGUUUUGGAGCAUAUCACUAAGCACUUUGAGCAAGCAAGCCAUUAAGCAACACCUCAUCCCCUCUUGAUAGUAUUGGCUUUUCCUAUAGACUCAAUGUGAUCUUGGAUCACUAAAAUAGAAAAUGUAGAGUCUUGAUCUUGAAGCUUGAGCCAAUCCUUUGUCCUUAGCAUCUUGAAGGGGUUCCACAUCCUCUAGUCCAUGCCACUCCAUUGUUGAACUUAUCUGAAACAUACUAGGUAAAAGUGUUAGUCCAACAAGAGAUAUGUUAACAUUAAUUACCAAAACCACCCAGAGAGCACUUGUGCUUUCAUAGCUCUAGCUAGAUCUUCAUAAUCUAAACCAUGUCUCAUAUGUAUAAUGUGUUUAUCACAUUAUGUAUGGUGCCCCGCCCCCUACGCCUACAAGUAUUUAGAUGUGAGUUGCAAACACCACACAUUACCACAAAUUCAAAUAAAAUGUGAGAAUGUUCGAUAUAUAGUAUUGUUUAGAUUGUUUGAUAUUUAGUUGUAAGCUGCAAACGCCACACAUUAUCACAAAUUCAAAUAAAAUGUGAGAUUGUUUGAUGUAUAGUAUGGUUUAGAUUGUUCGGCAUUUAGCUGUGAGUUGCAAAUGCCAUGCAUUAUCACAUUAUGGUAUAACAUGUGCACAGCACGUGUAUCACCGCUAUAUUCACGCAUGCAAUGUUUAAAACACUAUGAUCUCCUAUUCAAAUAUAUGAAUCCGCUUUCAUAUCAAAUUAUGAUCUUUGUUAGUCUCUUACACCCACAUAAUCCUCUAACCUUUGUAGUUACCACUAACUUUCUCUCGUGCAUGCACACGCCCUCCUCGCCCUCCCCCUCCCUCGGCAUUCUAUACACCGGGCACAUUCAUUUUUUUUUCUUUAGGUCGUUCUCCCAGAGUCUCCACAACUCCUUUCCGACACACACCGAUCGAUAAACCUCUCCAGCGAUGCCUGCCUACAACAUACACACACACACCUUCAAUCUCCUCCUUUAUGUGUCCUUGCCUCGUGUCUCUCAUACAGUCAGACACACAUGUAAACUCUCGCCCAUCUUUUCAUCGAUCUCACAAUCGCACACUCCUCCCCCUAUCUAGCUAGUAGUUGGGCCUCUCGCACCACCUCCUAGCUCCAUUCUCUCUGUCUAUCCAUCUCGCUAGGCCUUAUUUGCCUCUAACAAAUGGACGUACACCGACCGAUAUCUCGCUAUACAUAUAGCUAGCUAGGUCCUUAUAACUCGUUUUUACCCACACAUCAAUCGAUCUACCUCAUUAGUUGUGUCUCUCCCUUCCUCCGACAAACAACAAUUGAUCUACCGAUCUAGUUAGGUUUGCUUACCAAACACAUGGUUUCCCUUCAUCAUCCAUGGAUGCAUCCCGACAGAUCUAUCACACACAGGCACACACAGAAACACAUCCCCACUCUUAUUGAUAACAUUGCAGUUCCACCCUCAGUUUGUCUAGUAGGCCUCUCCCACCAUCUUCGAGAAGCAACUCCAUCACCCAUCCAGCACUCUACCCCUCUCCCUCCCUCUUCCUCCCUCUCUCUCCUCUCUCUCUCUCUCUCUCUCUCUGUCCCAUCAUAUUUCCCGUCCUUCAGUUAUGUAUGGAUGUCGACCGAUCUCCCUUGAGACAUAGCUGGGUCUCUCCUUCUCAACACAUAUACGAGUCGUUCUACCUCUAUAGUUAGGCCUCUGCCUACCCCUCCCCCCACCCCCCCUCCCCCCACACACACCGAUACAUCGAGCGCUCUAGUCAUGUCUCCCUACCACACACAAACUUGACAUGUUCCCUCUAACAUUCCGGUAGACCAGUCGCCUUAUAUCUUUGACUUGCACACACACACAAUUUCGAUGGCUCUCUUCAUCGAUCUCGCACCCACCCACUUGAUCCUCUCUUCGAUUCUAUCGAUAGCUAUGACCCCUCCCUCUCUUCUCGUGGAUUGCCCGACCCUCUAUGUAUGAUAUGGAUAGGCCUCCAUUUCACACACAUUGCAUGCAAAAUUUUGUUUGAGAUGUCAUCGACACAUAUUCCCACAAAUAAUUCACGAAAUCAACCCCCACCCCAAAACAAAAAACACUCAUGAAUGCGGUUUUUAUCUCUCACACACACCCACUUAGGUGGGGGACGUGCACGAAGAGAAGAGGUGCAUGCACGGCGCACGUACUCCCGUCUCUUUCCCAACCACACCCGCGCGGGUACACAGUGGAGCUCAUUUCUGUACGAAAAAGGCAGCCCACAUGGUAAUUUGGCACGUGUACUGGUUGUCUACUUGGUGGAGGGAGGAUCUUCUACCACGAGUGAACAAACAAAUUGUGACUUGAUGUGUUAUGUUAAAAAAAGAGGCGAACCAUGUGGGGCCUACCUUAGAGGCAAGGCUCUAUACACUGGAGUACUUUUGAUGUGUCCCAUCAACUCGCGGAACAAGGAGAAGCUUGCUUAGUACGCCGUCUCCCCCAUUCCUAAAUAUAAGUCUUUGUAGAGAUUUCACCAUGAACCACAUGCGGAUGUAUAUAGAUGCAUUUUAAGUGUAGAUUCAUUCAUUUUGUUCCGUAUGUAGUGGAAUCUCUACAAAGACUUAUCUACUAUUAAUAGCUAGCCCCCACUACUAGGAAUUCUCUAUCCUCUCCUUGAGCCACAUCAUCAAAAUUGAUGUAGCCGUUAGAUGAAGUAAAUCAGUCCAUAAUAGCCGUCUGAUCAAGACGUUGAGAGGCUCCGCACUAAGCCACAUGCAAGCAUGCAGAAAUACCGUGGCACAUGCAUGUGAGUGGGUUUUAAAUCACAUCAACAUGUCUGCAUGCAAGCAUGCACCGGUAGCAUGCAUGUAAGUGAGCUUUUAAGUCCCAUUAACAUGUCAAAAAGAAAAAUAUAAUCCCAUUAUGCAGUAGGAGUUGGCUGAUCUUUUUUCCUUACGUGGGAUGAUCUAAAUGAUGAUGCGAGUUUAUUUAGUUUGGCUACCACAUUUGUCAUGCAGUUAGGUGUCACACGGUGAUAGUGUGAGGUGGGCCACGUAAUCACCGAGCCUGCGUGUUUUCACUACUCUUGCAUGCCUCCGCUGUAAGAAUGGAGAAAAUUGUAAUCUAGUAGUAGUACCUCCUUUCGCCGAAAGCGUGGGACAUCCAGCAGUCCUACCACCUCAGUAAUAAAGACCAAUGAGCCGUCAAAUCACAUAGACCCAGCAGUAAGUUGGACAGACGAAGCAACCAUCACUCUUGCGCCAGUGAAAGGUCGUGUCCGCUCUGCCUGGGCAUGAAUGCGGCACCGAUUCUUUGGAGCGGCGUUGUUCGUUUCGGGCGGGAAGCGCGCGGGGGCGAUGGAGGGGCUUUGGGUGGGCCAGGCUGGUCAGGAGCGGGCGUGGCAGCUGUCUGCAUGUCCCUACCGGACACGCCCGGAAACGAGAGGAUGCACCGACUCUCGCGGCUAAAAUCGUACACUACACAACAUCUCUCUGUAGGAGUAGGUCGAUCUGUCGCUCUCUCUAACACACACAUGUUGUUACACACACACACACCCACGCACCUUGGUCCCGUUGCACCUUCUAAUGUGACUUAUUACACCUAGACGGAGGGAGUAGUAAGUAUAUGAGAUACGGUGGCACACUGACUUAAGUCGAAUACAAGUGCCCAAAUUUUGUGUGCAUGUUAUAAUAAGGAUUCACUUAAAAUAGUACGUGAGCGAACAGAGCGAUCAAUUGGACAGUGUUCCCGAGCAGUAGCGAGAUGUGUGAGGUAAGAAACACCGCUGGCGCUUUUAAUUUUUCUUAUUAAUUUGUUUGUUUCACCCUCUGACUGGUGGGACCCAACGUACUACGUGGAGAGAGGUAAGGUGACUAAGGCUGCAUUAUUUCUGCACCACUGUGGAUAGUCUUACCACCAAAGCCACAUGACACGAUUAUGAUUGAAAUCCCAAUGACUCCCACACACACACAAAAAUACGGCAUGCUUUUCACACGAAUGCGGGAAUGUAUAAAAGGUUAUUUCCCUCUCGUUGAACAUAAUGGGAGGGUUGUGUAGCUGGUUAGCCUGUUCGCUCAUCAAACUUGAGCAUAAUUUGUGCCAGGAGGAUUCUGUGACUGGUCAAAAUGUUUUAUAGGGUUUGCACGCUUCACACUCUCUCUCCAGUAUAUAUAUAUACACGCUGGAGCCUCAGCGCUUGUAGUUUCUCUCUUCACACUCUCUCGCCCUCUCCCGAUGGAGCCUCAGCGCUUGUAGUUGCUCUCUUCAUACUCUCUCGCCCUCUCCAGAUCUAAACAAGACUUCGUUGGCCUCUCUCUCCCCUCACUGCUGCUCAAAGAGCCAGCAGGAUCCGUCUGCCGGGAAGGGAAGGAGGCUUAACGUUGUCGCCGUCGGCGAGGGACUACUGGUGCAACUGUUCACUUUCCACCCAGCGGCGGCGCGGGAGGGCCUCCGACCCCUUCUUCUUCGCCGUCGUCUCGUCGCCCACCGAACCACGCCCCAUGAACCUUAAGGUAUAAUUUACUUACUCCACAUGCAUUGCUCUAGCUGCAUGUAUACCAUGAAUCUAGGACAUGGUUCAAAGAGGAAAGGAGUGGGGGAAAGUAGUGGGAAAAGUUGUAUAUAGCAUGAAUCUAGGACGUGGUUCAAAGAGGAAAUGAAGGGAGAAAGUUGUAUAGCAUGAAUCUAGGACGUGGUUCAAAGAGGAAAUGAAGGGGGAAAGUUGUAUAGCAUGAAUCUAGGACGUGGUUCAAAGAGGAAAGGAAGGGGCGAAAGUACUAGUUCAAAAAGGAAAGGAAGGGACAGGGCUGUAGAGUUUGAGCAGGACUAGAUUUGCUGCGCUCACAUAGGGAAAGGUGUCUAAAGAUAAAUAUGCUCCUUGGUUGUUUGUUCUUUGUUGCAACAGACUGUGCAUGACCACAGUACAUCGGUAAAUGCACAUGGUGCUGGUGCGUCCACUGUCCCGUGCAACUCAUUAGCUGUUGUUAAUCUAAGGCCCUAUUUGGUUAAAAACUCCCUAGUCCCUACCUGCUUGGUUCCAGGGACUAAACAUGGACUAGAGGUUAUUAAAUGACAUGCUAAAAGACCAUGUUACCCCUAGUAAUGAACUAAUAGAGACAAGGUGCGAUGCGUGGCAGGGGCAACUGUUGGAAAAAGUCCCAAAAAGACUCCCUCGGGGUCUUCUUUCUUUAGUCCCAAAUGCCCACUUUUAGUCCCUAAAAGUCCCUCAUGUUUGGUUUAGAUGGGACUAACACGGAGAUUUUUUAGUCCCUACACCAAAAUGUCCCUGUAAACAAACACCCUCUAAUAAUGCCGCUGGAAAAUUGAUGCAAUGCCACAGUUAAAAGCAAAUUACAUGUUUAACGAAUUUUAUUGUUAAUAUAAUCUCUAUGUUAAUAUUAAUCAGUGCCGCCGUUUGAGAAAUGCUACUGUCUUGCUUUCUUUCCCAUUUAGAUAAGGUAGAUGCUUCUUUUUGUUGGCUUCUGUGUCAUCCACCGUUAUUGACCACUAAUUGUUUCCUUUAAACCUCUAUGUAAACAGGGUUAUCUACUUGACCUCGUUGCCAUUGUGACCUUUUGUUGCACUUCACAAAACACUUUUGUUUUAAGAGUGAUUUGUGCAGUUCAACCAAAAUGACACACCGACUGUAACAUCCAGAAAUUCUACGCGACUCAAGGACCCACGGAGAGAGUUGGGGAUUUCGUUAUUUUCAUAUUUGGGUUUUUCUCAAAUUUUGAAAAUAGGAUCACUGAUUUUAUUUAUUAUAUCUUCAAUUAUUUCUAUAAUAAAAAUAUGAAGAGGGAAUAAAAUGACUUUCCCAAAAUAAAGAAAUAUUGAAGAUUUAAUAAAAAAUCAAGUAAGAUUUUAUUUCGGAUUUUUCUCGCUAUUUUAUUUGAAUUUAGGAAAAAGUGCACGUUUUCAAAACUGCGUUUUAGGGCCAAGAAAAUGUUCAUCUUGUUCUAAAUAUUGUACUUAGACGGUGAAAAUUUGUUUUGGCAUUUUUAGAUUUUUAUUUAUUUUUCUAGGAUUUUUCUUAGUUCGGCGGGAUUAUUUUAAAAAAAAACCUCGCGCGCCCGACUGGGCCGAAGGCCCAGCCGCUACCGCCUCCUGCAUCCGGAUCGGGACCGGAGUCCCGAACGCCGCCGCCGCCGAGUCCGGGAGGGCCACGCGCCGCCUCAGCCCCUCCCGCAAGCCACCGUCGCCACCCCCUCCCCUUUAUAAACCGACCCGGGCCCCCCUGGAGCCCCAUAGCCGGAGCCGCCGCUGCCACGCCUGCCGCCGCCGAAAUCUCGCCGACGCCGCCGCACCCGGCCACCGCCCCGGUUUUCUAAGAAAAAAAUUGAUUCGUUUUUUUUAGAAAUCCUAAGUUUUUUUAGAUCGUUUUAUCGGUUCUUUUAUUUAGUGAGCGUUCGCUCGUUCGUUCGUUUUAACGAACGCGUUCACCGUUUAGUUCCAGAUGACAAACAUUCGUUCGUUAAUCUGUUCGUCAGUUUUUCUUUUUCUUGGAUUUUUCCGCGAUUAUUUCUGAAUCAGGGGAACAACAACAACAACUGUUGAUCACUUAACCCGUUUUCUUAGGCUGAAUCCGCCGGUGUUCUCCAGUAGCACCGAGCUGAUUGUAGCAGAUGAUUGGCUCCGCAAGAUUGGAAGGGAGUUAACCACUACAGGAUGUACUGAUACUGAGAAGGUGCGCUUUGCCGCACAUCAGUUGGAUGGACCAGCAGCAUCAUGGUGGGAGAAUUACACUGUCACCUACCCUAUAGCCACGGUGACAUGUGACCAAUUUCAGCAGACUUUCCGUACAUCCCAUGUUUCAGCAGGAGCUAUGGCCAUGAAGAAGUGUGAGUUUUGCAACUUGCGCCAAGGAGGACAGACAGUUGGCCAGUAUGUGGAUGACUUUAGUAAGCUAGCACGUUAUGCCCCAGAUGACGUUGCUACAGAUGCAGCUAAGCAGGAGAAGUUUCUGAAAGGACUGAAUGAUGAGUUGAGCAUGCAGUUGAUGGUAGCAAGAUUCAACAACUACCAGGAGUUGGUAGAUCGCGCUCUUAUGAUUGAAGGGAAGCAGCAGCAGAUUGAAAACCGCAGGAGGAAGUAUGGACAAGGGAAGUACAAUUCUGGAGCUCAGCAGAAGCCACGUUUUACCCCUAAACCGGGAGGACAUUUUCAACAUACCCAUGGAGGAGGUAGCUCGCACAAUCAUAAUGGCCCCAAGAAUGGUAAUGGUAAUGGAGGAAGCAACGGCCAGAACUGUACCAACCCAUUGACACCAGCCAAGAGAGACAUGAGCCAAGUCACUUGCUAUAAGUGCCAGAAGACUGGACAUUACGCCAAUGAAUGUCCUGAAGCCCAGAAUGGAAAUGGCAAUGUAAGCUCUGGGAAGAAGCCAAACCCUUUCCAUAGGGGACAGGUGAACCACGUUAACGUGGAGGAGGUUGAAGCUCAGCCAGAUGCAGUAAUAGGUAAGUUUUUGGUUAAGUCAUUUACUGCACUCGUCCUUUUUGAUACUGGUGCAUCGCAUUCAUACAUCUCAAGGGGAUUUGUGGAUAAGUAUAAACUGCCAACCCAAGCCCUUAGGUCACCCAUGUUAGUAACCUCGCCUAGAGCAGAGUAUAUGGCUAGUCUAUGGUGUGAUCGGUUACCAUUAAGGAUUGGUAACUAUGUAUUUCCCUCGGACCUAAUAGUAUUGGAAUCUCAAGGAUUGGAUAUGAUAUUAGGCAUGGAUUGGUUAUCGAAGUAUGGAGGGAACAUUGAAUGCGCUAGUAAGUCAAUUUUGCUUACGACGCCAGAAGGAAGACGGAUCAAGUAUGUAUCCCGGCAUGCGCCGAAGAGGACUCAAGUAAAUUCCUUAUCAGGAGUUAUGCAGGAGGAAGUAAUAGUGGUGAAGGAUUUCCCUGGCGUAUUUCCAGAGGAGUUGCCAGGCAUGCCACCGGAUAGAGAUAUUGAGUUUUUGAUUGAGCUUAGCCAGGCACAGGGCCAAUAUCUAAGAGACCAUACAGGAUGCCCGCAAAAGAUUUGGAGGAGAUUAAGAAGCAGAUUAAGGAGUUACUGGAUAAAGGUUAUAUUCGCCCAAGUUCUUCGCCUUGGGGAUCGCCAGUACUUCUAGUGGAGAAGAAGGAUGGAUCGUUAAGGAUGGUUGUUGAUUAUCGAGGAUUGAAUGAAGUAACAAUCAAGAACAAGUACCCACUGCCGAUGAUCAAUGAUCUGUUUGAUCGAUUGCAAGGAGCUAAGGUAUUUUCCAAGAUCGAUCUGCGAUCAGGAUACCAUCAGUUAAAAAUUUGAGAGCGGGAUAUACCUAAGACGGCUUUUACCACCAGGUAUGGGCUAUACGAGUAUACCGUUAUGUCAUUUGGUCUGACUAACGCGCCUGCAUAUUUCAUGAACAUGAUGAACAAGGUGUUUAUGGAGUUUUUGGAUAAGUUCGUCGUGGUGUUCAUUGAUGAUAUUUUGGUCUACUCAAAGAAUGAAGAGGAGCAUAAGGAGCAUUUGCGUUUGGUACUUGAGAAGAUCAGAGAACAUCAAUUAUAUGCCAAGUUCAGCAAAUGUGAGUUUUGGUUGAAGGAAGUUGGAUUCCUCGAACACGUUAUAUCCGGAGAAGGUAUAGCAGUAGAUCCCACCAAGGUUGUCACUGUCACAAAUUGGGAAGCACCAACAAUAGUUGGAGAGAUUCGGAGUUUUCUUGGACUUGCAGGAUAUUACCGGAGGUUCAUAGAGAAUUUCUCAAAAAUUGUGAAGCCUAUGACGGAGUUGUUGAAGAAGGAUACCAAGUUCAAAUGGACUGAGGAAUGUGAGGCCAGUUUCCAGGAAUUGAAGAAACGUUUGGUUACCUCGCCAGUGUUGAUUCUGCCAGAUCAGCGGAAGGAUUACGAGGUAUAUUGCGACGCUUCAUGUCGAGGACUUGGAGCAGUGCUUAUGCAGGAGGGAAGAGUUGUUUCGUAUGCUUCACGACAUCUGAAACCUCAUGAGUUGAAUUAUGCCACGCAUGAUUUGGAGUUAGCAGCCGUAGUGCAUGCAUUGAAGACUUGGAGACAUUUUCUCAUUAGAAACCAUUGUGAAGUAUACACGGAUCACAAGAGUUUGAAGUAUAUUUUCACGCAGAAGGAGCUAAAUCUCAGGUAAAGGAGAUGGUUGGAGCUCAUCAAGGAUUAUGAUAUGAGAUUGCAUUAUCAUCCCGGAAAGGCUAACAUAGUAGCAGAUGCGCUGAGCCGUAAGAGCCAUGUCAACACACUAAUGACGAGAGAUUUACCGAAGGAGUUAGCCAAAGACCUUCGUGAGCUAUGUUUGGAGAUAGUUCUGAGAGGCUAUGUAGCAGCAUUGGAGAUUCAGUCUACUUUGAUGGAUAAGAUCAGAGAAGCUCAGAAGACUAACAAGGAGGUUGCCUCUAUAAAGGAGAAGAUGAGCAAAGAAAAAGUUAAAGGAUUUCGUGAGGAUGAGCACGAUACCCUAUGGUUUGAAGACCGUGUUUACGUGCCUAACGACCCGGAGAUCAGGAAGUUGAUUCUGCAGGAGGCCCAUGAUUCACCAUAUUCGAUUCACCCAGGAAAUACCAAGAUGUAUUUGGAUUUGAAGGAUACUUUCUGGUGGACCGGAAUGAAGAAGGAUAUUGCAGAGUAUGUAGUAGUUUGUGAUGUAUGUCAGAGAGUAAAGGCAGAGCAUCAGAAGCCAACAGGAUUGCUACAACCAUUGCCGAUACCCAAAUGGAAGUGGGAUAAGCUAGGUAUGGAUUUUAUCACGGGAUUACCCAGGACCCGUUCAGGCUAUGACUUGAUAUGGGUUGUAGUCGAUCGCUUGACGAAGGUAGCUCAUUUCAUCCCAGUAAAGACCACUUACACCAGUGCUAAGUUGGCGAAGAUAUACAUGACCAGGAUCGUAUGUCUGCAUGGAGUCCCGAGGAGCAUUGUAUCUGAUAGAGGAACAUAGUUUACCUCAAAGUUAUGGAAUCGGUUGCACAAAACUUUGGGUACUAGACUAGAGUUCAGUAUAGCUUUUCAUCCGCAGACAGAUGGACAGACCGAGAGAGUCAAUCAGAUCUUGGAGGAUAUGCUGAGAGCUUGUGCGCUAGAUUAUGGAUCUAGUUGGGACGACAAUUUGCCAUAUGCAGAGUUCUCUUAUAACAACAGUUAUCAAUCCAGUUUGAAGAUGGCCCCUUUCGAAGCCUUGUACGGAAGAAGGUGCAGAACACCAUUUUCGUGGGAUGAAGUUGGAGACCGCCAGUUGUUUGGACCAGAUUUGAUUAAGGAGUCUGAACAGAAAGUGAAAUUGAUUCGCAAUAGGCUCAAGGUAGCCCAGUCCAGGCAGAAGAGCUACACGGAUUCUAAACGCAAGGAUAUGGUUUACGAAGUCGGAGACCGAGUUUAUCUUCGAGUAUCUCCACUUCGGGGAGUUAAGCGCUUUGGAGUUAAGGGAAAGUUAGCACCACGUUUUGUGGGACCAUACAAAGUUUCGGAACGUAUGGGAGAAGUUGCCUACAAGUUGGAGUUGCCCGAAGGAUUGUCAGGAGUUCACGAUGUGUUCCACGUUUCCCAAUUGAAGAAGUGCCAUGCAGAGAUGGCUGAUAUACCACUAAGAGAUACAGUACCGCUGGAAGCAAUUCAGUUGGAUAGUGAUUUGACCUAUGAGGAGAAACCAGUCAAGAUUCUCGAGUAUGCCAGCCGAGUCACCCGCGGCAAGGUUAUCAAGUUUUGCAAAGUUCAGUGGAGCCACCACACCGAGGAUGAAACCACCUGGGAGCGAGAGGAAGAACUGCUGAAGGACCACCCUCACCUAUUUUCUAGCCAACCCGAAUCUCGAGGGCGAGAUUCAUCUUAAGGGGGGUAGGUUUGUAACAUCCCAAAUUUUCAAUUUAGAAUGUUAUACAUUCGGUCAUCACUGCAUAUCAUAUUUUAUUUGUUUGGCCUGAUCCAGAAAUUCUACGCGACUCAAGGACCCACAGAGAAAGUUGGGGAUUUCGUUAUUUUCAUAUUUGGGUUUUUCUCAAAUUUUGAAAAUAAGAUCAUUGAUUUUAUUUAUUAUAUCUUCAAUUAUUUCUAUAAUAAAAAUAUGAGAGAGGGAAUAAAAUGACUUUCCCAAAAUAAAGAAAUAUUGAAGAUUUAAUAAAAAAUCAAGUAAGAUUUUAUUUCGGAUUUUUCUCGCUAUUUUAUUUGAAUUUAGGAAAAAGUGCACAUUUUCAAAACUGCAUUUUAGGGCCAAGAAAAUGUUCAUCUUGUUCUAAAUAUUGUAUUUAGACGGUGAAAAUUUGUUUUGGCAUUUUUAGAUUUUUAUUUAUUUUUCUAGGAUUUUUCUUAGUUCGGCGGGAUUAUUUUUUAAAAAAAACCUCACGUGCCCGACUGGGCCGAAGGCCCAGCCGCUACCGCCUCCUGCAUCCGGAUCAGNNNNNNNNNNNNNNNNNNNNNNNNNNNNNNNNNNNNNNNNNNNNNNNNNNNNNNNNNNNNNNNNNNNNNNNNNNNNNNNNNNNNNNNNNNNNNNNNNNNNNNNNNNNNNNNNNNNNNNNNNNNNNNNNNNNNNNNNNNNNNNNNNNNNNNNNNNNNNNNNNNNNNNNNNNNNNNNNNNNNNNNNNNNNNNNNNNNNNNNNNNNNNNNNNNNNNNNNNNNNNNNNNNNNCGCCGCUGCCGCGCCUGCCGCCGCCGAAACCCCACCGACGCCGCCGCACCCGGCCACCGCCCCGGUUUUCUAAGAAAAAAUCGAUUCGGUUUUUUUAGAAAAUCCUAAGUUUUUUUAGAUCGGUUUUAUCGGUUUUUUUAUUUAGCGAGCGUUCGCUCGUUCGUUCGUUUUAACGAACGCGUUCACCGUUUAGUUCCAGAUAACAAACAUUCGUUCGUUAAUCUGUUCGUCAGUUUUUCUUUUUCUCGGAUUUUUCCGUGAUUAUUUCUGAUCGCGAUUUUCAUUUUAGUUUAUCUUUUCGCUCGUUUGUCGGAAUUAGGCGAUUCAAGCGCCUGGAGUUUCGUCUCGAAACCCUCUUUCCGUUUAACCAACUCAAACAAGUUUUUGCAUCUGUAAAACUUGACUUAGAUCCAGAUUAGUAAAUGAAGUUGGUUUCUUUCGCCGUUUGACUUUCGUUGCUUCGUUUGAUUUGAUUCUUUUUGCAAACCGGAGUUCUUAAGUUGAACUUUCUGGUUAGAUCUCUUAUUUGAGUUUUACGCGUGCAUUAGAUGAGUACUUAUUGUAUGCUUGUUUGUUUGCGAUAGAGUACCCGGAGUGCGCCGCUUGCUACUUUGAACCUCUAGGUUUCGAUGAUCAUCAGCAAGGCAAGUAACACUUUGAUCAUACCUCUUUACUACCCAGUUUUAUUGCAUUAGAUCAAUCCUCAAACAAUUGCAUGAGUAGGAUCUGAUUAAUAUGUGGGUUUUGGGAAGUAGAUGAAGUAGUACCUAUUACCUGUUUUAUUAUCAAACCCUUGGGAGUUACUUCUACAUUUGCUUAUUUUGCCAUGCUAUGCUAGUAGACGUGGAUUGGGUGAGUGUAUCCAUGACAGAUGUGAGAUUGUUAAAUUAAUGGUUUAUUUAAGGUGGCAACUUAAACACACAUCUAGGUGGACUGAGGCACCUGGGUAUUCCAGCGAUUGCCUGUUUUUCUUUAUGGACCGCCACUCAGGCUCAAAGGGAUCAUGAUAUUAUUCAUACUAGAAACUUCCGUGUGCAGCCACAAGCUACUAUGGGCUCUAGCAUAGUUGACUAAGUCGUGCGAACUCUUACAGUGGUAGACUAGCAGAUGUAGGGGAUGUAGAUUGGUACUGUCUACCCGAUCGUAAGGUGCUAGCGCUUCUGAAAGACUAUGUCUCGGUCAUCCGUUUCUCAAACACCAUGUAGUGCGAGAAUCCCAAUGGAGGAGAUUGAGUCUUGUGGGGAAAAGUGCGCAAACCUCUACAGAGUGUAUAAACUAAUCAUGGUUAGUCGUGUCCCCGGUUAUGGACAUCUUGAGUAUCUAGUACUUGGAUUAUCAUGUGAAUCUCAUCAUGUUACUUUAAUUAAUAUUAUUGGGUUUUAAUGUUGAUACUUAAUUGGGAUUGAGAGGAUGUCUAUCUUCUCAAUGUUUAACAACCACCAUGAUAGUUAAAUAAAAUUUAUUCCUUUGCAGUAGGGAAAAAUUGGCUUUAUGCAAAAACUGUAACCAUAGAGCUUUCCACCAGCCAUAUAUGCAUAUAGUAUAGCUUUAUUCUUUCAUUACUCUCUUACAUUGCCAGCAUAUUCCAUGUGCUGACCCGUUUUCGGGCUGCAACGUUCAUGUUGCAGACUUUUCAGACGAUGAGUAAGGUGCCUUUAGGUCGUGGUUCUAUACUCAGUGAUGCCGUUGGAGUUGAUGGACUCACUUAUCUUCCAAGCCUUCCGCUGUUAUCAUUAUUAGAUGGCCUUAAGCCAUAUUUAUUGUAAUAAGCUCUCUUUUGAGACAGUCGAUGUAAUAAGUGUGUGAUUGCUACUCUGUUAUAAAUCCUUCAAGUACUGUGCGUGUCAGCAUUACUGAUCUAGGGAUGACACUAAAGCACAGAGAUCGGACUGUUUGAGGUCUGGUCGCUACACCGACAAUGUUGCUUGAUUGCUUGAUCUUAGUGGAACUGCACAAGAGGAAAUCUUACUUCCUAUCCAUUAAGGCGAAUUUGGUUCAGAUCUUCUUCUUGUGAGUUGUUUGAAUUCCGCAUCAUGAGAGGUCAGUACUAGCCUUCUUUCACAUGAUUCUGCAGUGUGCUUUCAUAUGUUGUGGUACUUGUACGAUAAUGUUGCUUGAUUUUAGUGAACUGCACAAAUGGAGACAAGACUUCCAAUCUGUAUGUGCACCGUAAUAUCCCAUUGAGGUAAGAUAAGGAUAUUUCACAACUGAUGUCCUGUAUUUUGCCACUUUCAUCGGAAAAUUAAGUUUAGUACUAUACUUGUGCUCCCUAAUUGACAUGCCAAAUCUUACAUUGAAGGCGAAGCUUGUUUGUUAUUGAACCAAGUGAUGAAUGGGAAGAACAAGCGGAAGAAAAACAAAAAUCAACUCCCGGUGUUGUAAUGAAGCACUGGAACUGUGAUGACACAAGUAAUGAUAUAGUUUUGCAUCUUAAUUUAUUGCUAUGGCUGGAACGAGCAAUUGUUUUGCCACUGAUUUGAUGCCACUCUUAAUGUAAUAUGUAAUUAUCUCUACUUGUGCAAACAGGGAUCUUCUUUGAAGAUACCAUAUAUUUUAGUGGAACUACACAAGAAGAUGUUGGAAAAGUUAAACUAAUCGAGGAGUAUAUAGUAAGCAUGGCCACCACCGUAGAUAGCAACAGAUGGUUCCGGUGAAGUGCUUCAUCUGUAUGCUCUACACAAUAAGCCUCCUGACAAAGGUUGGUACUCGCCCACUGAUUUCAUCCAUAUGAUUGAGCUUUGUCAUCUAUAUUGGUGUUGUGCUACUGUUUAGAUACUGUCAUGAAAAAGUGGUAUUGUCCUUGAUAAGUGCUUCAUCUAUGUUGUUUUAAAUAUUUCCAUUCCUUUUUUCGAGCAAAUAGGGAUGCUAGCAUUUAGUAGUCCUCUUGUAUUUGCACAACAGGAUCAUCUUCCUCUGAAGAAGAAUAUGGAGUACGUGAAGUGACUAGUUCCGAUUAUGCCAGGAUGAAGAAGCCCUAUCUAUCUUCUCAUCAGAAGGAGAAGUUGAAGGAUGGUUACAUUACUCCCCACAAGACCAAACUAACUUUAGCUCAGAAGGACUGACAAAUCUCCAUUUUUUUGCUGUGAUGCGCGAGUACAAUGUUGUUCUAGGAUUCUUCCUGGUGAGUUCCAUUUUUCUAAAAGUGUGCUCUACAUGGACCAUGUAUGUGCCUGUUGAAACUGGCAAUUCAUAGUACAGUUUGCUUUAUACAAAUCACUUUUUUGUAUUUGUGCAAACAGGGGUGCUCAGCUUGAUUUCAAUGGGAACUGCACAAAAUGUUCAUGAAUACAUCGAAUCAUUCAUUUCCACCACAAGAAAGGAGGUGCCGAUAAGUUCAAGGCGUUGCAACAUAUAAGGGCGAAAUCAUACAAGCUACACGCGAAUUUGGUUGAUUUUGGUGGAACUGCACAAAAAGAACAGCUGGUUUAUUUAGCACGAGGUGCCAUGUCAAUGUCUGAACUGAUGGCAAACCCUGCCCAUUCCACAAUCGUAGGCAUUUGAUAUUUUGGAAUGGGACAACCUUGUCAAAUUUUGCUCAUUGAUUUUAGCAAGACAUGCGUUUGAUAUUUUCGAAUGGGACGCCCUUUGCUGUCAGCAGUGUUGAUCAAUUUUUUCUUUAUUCUUUAGUUGUGAAGUAAAUAUUGCCUCUGACAUAUGAGUCGCUGAGAUGCAUAAUCAUCGAUUGUUUUGAAUGUUCUCUAUGAAUUGCCAGGCCUGUGUGUUUGAUUGCAAUGUACAGAGACACUAAAAAGCUGCUCAAACUCUUUGUACUCCUUCUGUUCCUUUUUACUUCGCACAUUGUGAAAGUGCAUACUUUUUUGUAUAAGAUUGGUCGAAGUAGAGAUACUUUGACUGCAGACAAAACUUGUAUGCAGACUAGAAAUGACCGGAGGGAGUACAUGUCAAACUGCUGCAAACGAGGUGAUCACCCUGGGAAUAAUGCUAGUACAUAUUGUUUUGCAUGUUCAUCCAAUGCCAGUGAUACAGGAAUUCGAACUAAUUGAAAUAAAUUCAUUCAUAGACGGUCGGAUUUCAUAUAAACAUGCUGGAUUUCAUUACAUUUCAUACAUUCUUCAACUAAAAAGGGGUGCGCUGGAGGUAUAAUUAAUUAACCGAAGCUACCCACCUGUGUCCCGCUGAGGUGAACAGAAGCUUCAGUGACUUAACUGCAGGUGCAGUUGCGUAACUGACAUGUGGCCUGUUGGGCCCACGUGUCAGUCAGCUAACUGCACCAGCGGUUAAGUAGAAGCAGCGUUCUUCUCCAGCGCAACUCUCUGACUCCACGUCACCGCGAAGAAGCUAACCGGCCGUCAAUGGUCAACCCGCCUAGCUUGGCUUCAACCGGAGGGUAGCAGCGGUGGCCUUACUUGGACCCGAGCGGCGGCGACCUACCGUGUUCUACUCUUCCUCAUUUUCCGUGUGGUGCGGCCUCGUUGGCAGCGGUGCGGGGCCUCGGCAGAGCUGGCGAUGUCCUCUGUCUCGUUGCCGGCAGGGUGGGGCCUCGGCUGAGCCGACAAUGUCCUCUGCCUCGUUGUUGGUGGGGCGGGGCCUCGGCGGAGCCGGUGAUGUCCUCUGUCUCGUUGCCGGCAGGGUGGGGCCUCGGCUGAGCUGACGAUGUCCUCUGCCUCGUUGUUGGCAGGGAGGGGCCUCGGCGGAGCCGGCGGUGUCCUCUGCCUCGUUGUUGGCGCCACGGGGCCUCGGCGGAGCAGGGCGUCGUCGACGCCAGCGGAGCGGGGACUCGUCGGAGCCGGCAUUGUCCUCUGCCUCGUCAUCGGCCUUGCCAAAUAGCGCCUCGCCCACUUCAUCGCCCUCUUUGCUAGCCUCUUUGUAGGCGGCCGCAGCCUCCGCCACCUGCAUGCGGUACCGCCAGCGCUCGAGGCGGCCCUUGCGGGCGGAGCCGUACGAGUCGAGCAGUGCCUCCUGCUCCGCCCGCUCCACGGUGAUCUACUCCUCCGCCUGCAGGUGCUCCUGGAGGAGAUGGUGGUUGUAGGCGGCGUCGGCCUGCGCCUCCCGGAACUGCUCCUCACGCAUCUGCCUCACCCUGUCCAUAUAUUGGGCAUGGGCCUCGCCGAUGUUCAUGGUGCAAUGCACCGGCGAGGAUGGCGUGGAGGAGGGGGUUGGUGCCGGAUCGUCGACUACCAUGUUCUCCAUUGGGACGUCGUUGUCCUCCGGCUGCCUGCCGGCCAGCCGGUCGGCAGCAAUGGCUGCCAUCUCCUUGUGGUCCGUCGUCCGCCCGCCCCGAAGAGCGCUGGAGCGCGAGGAAGCCAUGGUGGGCAGUAGUGGUGUGGACAGGAGAAAGGGAACGGAUGCGGAUGACUGCGGCUAUGGCCGGCGCAGCAGUUUAUAUAGCAAUGGUGGGCUGGCGGAGGGACAGACGUGUGGCGCCGGAGUAGCCGCCUCGGCAACCGCGCAUCAUUAAUGUGGGCAGCAGAUAGACGGACGGAUGGCACUUGUGUCGUUUGAAGGCGGAGCAAUCGCCUGCACCGGGAAGCGGGGCAGGCGGCGCUGACUGUUUCGGGCGGAAAGCGCGCGCGAGCAAGGAGAUGACUUUACUUGGAGAGGAUGACAAUGGGGAUCCACCAAGUCCAUAGCCUCACGUACGCAAGUGCCUUAUAUAUAUAUAUAUAUAUAUAUAUAUAUAUAUAUAUAUAUAUAUAUAUAUAUAGGGUGGAUCUAUUAUGAUAACACCCUUAAGACCCUUAUUCUACACAUCCCUCACCUUAUUCUGAUAACACCCGAUCAGACGCCCACCCACGAAGGAAAAAACCCAACCCCCACCUUAUCUUGAAACCAGCCCACUCCGCUCUCUCCCCGUGCUCCCCACGACCUCCUCCUGCCAGCCUGUCGCCGCCCCACCUCCCGCCCCAUGUUCCACACGCACCGCCGCCGCCCCGCAUCUCGGCGCGCAUCGCCGCCCUACCUCCCUUCCUCGCCGCCGCACCGCCACCCCACCACAUCCCACCGCGCCGCCACCCAAAACCACUGCUGCGCCGCCCCUCCCUAGGCCGCCGCCCAGAUGACCUCCUUCAGCUCCACGGUGCCCGGAUCCACAGCCCCCCGCCCCGGUGACCUCCUUCUGCGCUGUGUCAGCCGGAUCUAGAGCCCCCAGGAGAUCUUCUUUUGCGUCGCCGCUGCUGGAUCCAUUUGAUCUCCUGCUGUGUCGCCACAGGCCCCAUGCCUCCUACGCCACCAACCACCAACUGGCGGGUGUUGCUCCCCAGAUCCGCCCCACCUCUCUUGCCUUGGUCGAUCUACAGGGAGGGGUUGAUGGCCACGCGCUGCAACAGCCUCCGUCAAGGACAGUGAGCCUCCCUCCCCCACCCCAAGGCAUUAACUAGCUCCACGCGACUCACCCUCCCCUCUUCUUCUCUGCCUCGAUCACACAUGGAGGGGUGAGGGGCGGCGCGGCUCGGCAGGCUCAAUGGCUGACUCUGCCCGUGGGCGUGCAGUUCUGCCCACGCGGGCGUGCAUCUCAACCAACGGGGCCUUGCAGUUCGGCCCACGGCACUGACAGCUUCCGGCGAACUCUCGCUUGUACGGUGGCGAGACGUGCAGUUCAAUCGCCUGGGCGAGCGGUUCGGCGGCCGUAUGGUUGCGGUGCAGUGCGCCAUCAUGGACGACGAUUCGGCGGCCAUCGUGCGCGCGGCCUCCCCCCAGCCGCCGUGCGCAACUGCUCCCCUUCGCGGGCCCAGGCGCGCCGACGCGCCCCUUUGACUUCUGUGCGCCUACCUCCACAACAUGCAGCGGUCGCCGGCGAGCGGUGUCGCCAUGGCUCUUGCUCGCAUUUUCUCCCUGGUUGAAGUUCAUUUGAAUUUUUUUGAAGCCCGCUCGAUUUUGUUCUCCAGUUCACCGUGAGAUCCAUGGUGCUGGCCAUGCCACGCCUUCUCCUGCUGCUCCAUCUAAGCCGAGGACGGGCUCUGCCGCGCCAGGAAACAGGGUCUAAUUCCCCAACAACAAAAGUUGCAGUGCGUAUGACUGAUAGUUUGGAUGGUUUUUCUUUUUGUAAAAAAGUUAAGUGCAAUGCGGUUUAGUUAACUCAUUUUUACGGGAGAAGACGAAGAUAAAGUGCACUGUACAUGUUUUGUUAAGCCUAAUAACAAGUUGAAUUGCACGUCUAGGUUCUAGAAAAAAAAGGUGCAGUGCACUGGUCUCACCCGGUAGUCCAUAUUUUUUCACUUUCGAGGUUCACUACUCACGUUCGGGGCAGCUCGCUAUAUUUUUGUUUUGUUUUGGGGUGUUUAUACAGAAAGGCGAGAUUUAGUUUGUAAUUAUUUAAAGAAAUCCCAUGUAAUUCAUUGUAUGAAGACUUGUGGUUUUCUAUGUAAAAAGAAAAGGAAAACAAACAAUGCAGUACACUAGCCUCGAGGGUGCGGUCCGAAUGCAUUUGUAAAAAGAAAGUAAAGAAGUAAAAAAAACUAAUGCAGUUCUCUUGCCUCAUCACGUAAUUCAAAAAACACGAGAAAAAUCUUGUUUUAGGAGUUCACUCAUGCGGUUCAUUUUCGGCAGUGUGGUGGUUCAUUUUCGGUAGUGUGGCGGUUCACUUAUGCCCAACAAAAAAAAUCAUGAAGUUUGCUUGACUAUUUGAUGAAGUGCAGUUUUUAGUCUAAAAAAGUGCGGUUUGCUACCUCGUUUGGGAAAAUUUACGUCACAUAAAAAAAUCAUGCAGUGCACUUGUCCGUCUGAUGAAAUGCGGGUUUUAGUCUAAAGAAGUGCGAUUUGCUAUCUCGUUUGGGAAAAUUUAUGUCCCACAAAAAAAAUCAUGCAGUGCACUUGUCGGUCUGAUGAAGUGCGGUGCCGUGGCCCGUUUACGGUAGUCUCGAGGUUCCCUUUUCAUACUAUUGCGGUUCCCCAACGCUCGACAUGAAGUGCACUUCACCUCGUUUGAAAAAAUUUACGUCACACAAAAAAGAAAUCAUGCAGUGUACUUGUUCGUUUGAUGAAGUGCGGUUGUUAGUCUGAAGCAGUGCGGUUUUCUGACUGAUGCAGUACAUACGACGAUUUUGGUGUCGCAAAAAAACAGAGUGUCCGCAUUUCGGUAAAUUUAAAACUGCACUUAAACUAUAAGGAAUUAGAGAGAGUGUUCUACAUGAAAAAGUUGCGUCUCGUCGAUAUCUUUCCAACGGCAUAUCAUUUGAAUCAUUUCGACAACCGGUUUGUAAAAAAUUCGCGAAAAACGGUUGCUGCCACUCGUCGUCCCCCGCAUGAUUUUCAAAAUUAACUUAAAACUGUAAGGAAUCUCAAAACCAUUUCUGCAUAUGAAAGUUGCGCCUUGUCCAUAGAUUUCCAACGACAUAUUACACGCCUUGUUUCGACAAACGGUUAGAAAACUGGAGCGAAAACAGUAACGAAAAUUUGAAAUUUUUUUUAAAAACAGAAUUCCGCGAUUUAGUAAAUUUGAAACUGCUCUUAAACUGUAACGAAUUAGAGAAAAUAAUAGUUAUGAAAAAGAUGCGCCUCGACGAUAUCUAUCCAAUGGUGUAUCGUUUGCUUCAUUCCAACGAGCGGUUUAGAAAAAACGCGAAAAAACGCUCGCUGCCACUCGUCAUGGGCUGCACCAUUUUGAAAACUGCUCUUAAACCGUGAGGAAUCUCGAAAAGUGUUCAACAUGGCGAAGUUGCGCAUAAUCCAUAGCUUUCCAACGGUAUAUUAUAUGCCUCGUUCCGAUAAACGGUUAAAAAACUAGAGCAAAAAGAGUACCGAAAAAACACUGCAUACAGUUUUUUACGACACGAAGUUCACUAGUCUCUGUAAUGCAGUGCUCUAGAUAAAGAAAGUGUAGUGCCCUCGCGUUGAGCAUGCAGUGCGGAAGUGUUAUCAGAAUAGUUAUUCUAAUAAUAUUAUCAUAAUAGACCGUCUGUGUGUGUGUGUGUGUGUGUGUGUGUGUGUGUGUGUGUGUGUAUAUAUAUAUAUAUAUAUAUUUGCUUCCUCCUGGUUUCCUGACAUCAUGGUCCCACACCAUUGUCAACCUAUGUAGUAUAGUCAAUAAACGAGAGAAUUGCACAAGAAGCGGCCGAUAGCUGGGACCAAGCAACUCGAGCAGUAUUUGUGUUUUUUAGGUGUGAGUACUGCAGAGUUUUCCGAUGUUUAGCUCAGAUAUUAAUGUUUCUCCUCUGAACAACAACGAAAACAUCGCUGCAGGUAUUAACUGGGCGGGCUGUGGCCCGUCUAGCCCAGGCCAGAUAUCCAGCCCAAAUAUUAAAUUUUUUCAAGCUGAAAAUGGCUAGCCCAGCUAUACUUUUUUUUAGGAAUAUCCAGGCAAGGUCAAGUUGUUAUUCUCCACCCCGCUGGGCUGCAAAUCUUUCCUAGAAGGGAUGCAUUAGGCUUAACAAGAAAAUGGGCUUUAAGAAAUAAUAAAUGUGAUGUAAUUAUAAAAAUUGGGUAGUAACUAUAAAAAAUGCACCAAACACGUGAUUACUUUAUAAAAUAUUAUUUUUGGGUAUUGAAAAUUUUAAUUUCAUUAAUUGUCACGAGCACAAUGUUUCGUUGAAUUUUUACGUAAUAUAAAUUUAUAUUAAAAUUGUAUUUAAUCUGACUAGAAAUUUCGGAAUAAAAAUAUUUUGGAUCCCAUCAAAAUGUGGGAAAUUUUACUGAAUUCUGUUUUGAACGGUUGGUUGAAAUGGGUUGUACUUUUAACAAACUGUAAACGGGCUGUAGUAAAUUCCAUUAGAAUUCAAAAAUGGGCUACACAUUCUUACAAAUCUCAAAUGGGCUAUAAGUUCUCUGCCACACACUUCUGGCCUUACUAAGUUGAUGUGUUUCCUAAAAAAACAGAGUUGACGCGUAUGCAAGGCUUUGUCAACUUAUAGUCAACACACGCUAGCAGCAGUGGCCGUUGGAUGUCCAUCCAACGGAUACCGUGCUUCUUCUUCAAUCUCGGAUAUUCUAGCUUCACCCGCCCAAAAAAUGAUUCCUCCCCCUUACAUCUGGGGCGCACCGUUUCGGAAGCUGACCUGUGGGCCUACUAAGUUGACGUACCAAGGGCUUUGUCAACUUAGUCAAUAUAAACGAUUCUAGCUGCAGUGACCGUACGAUGUCCAUCCAACGGCCGUCGUGCUUCUUCAACCUCUGGUUUUCUUGCUUCAGCCGCCCAAAGCAGCGCCGAUCGUGCCGCCUGCUCGUGCCUCCCGUGGCCGGCUAUGCUGCCGCGGAGGCCUCACCACCCCCUACUACUCCCACCGCUGGCCAGGUCAUCCCUCCACUCACCCACACCCCCUGUUAUUCUGCGGUGACGACAGCGCAGCCGAACCAGUAAACCCUCGUACUCCUCUCCGUAUGUGCAUCCACUGCCGCGUCUUCCCCGGCUCCGCGUCGUCCCCUUCCUAGGCCUCGCCGUCGUCCACCGCCCUGGUGCUCUCGGCACGGCGUGGUCAACAUGGUCAAGAAACGACUUCCAUCGGACGUGGACUGUAUGUGGAGAGGCUGACAGUUGGGUCCACGACAGCCGCAAGGAAGUGCCUCCUUAUUACACGCAAAAUAAUUAUUCCUCCACCUGACAGCGAGGACCCAUCGGAUAGGCCACCGUAUUUCGCGAAAAAAAUGAUUCGCCCCCUGACUGCUGGGACCCAUUAGUUACAUCUUCGCAUGCAAGGAAGUGCAUCCGGAAAAAAAACGAUUCGCCCCCCUGACUGCUGGGACCCACCAGCUACAUCUUCGCACGCAAGGAAGUGCCUGAUAGUCGGGACCCACCUAGUCGAAGCGUAUGUAGCAUUGUCAUUCUUGUCGCGAACGUGUACAUACAUAUAUACUGGUGGAUGUAGAGGCGUGCACGUGUCGUAGUAGAGGCGUGCACAUAGCAUGUACACGUACGUACAGCGGCCAGGGUGCAAGAAAGAAAAUACGGCCACGUAUGUGUACAUACGGGCGGAGUCUUGAACGCCUACUCGCGCAUACGUACGGCCAGGGCUCGUGUACAUGACUGGGUCGGAACGGAGAAACAGCGUCGUCGUCGUGUUCAUGGGGAGGCAACGGAAUGCGUUGUGUUCGUGGGGAGGCAACGGAAUGCGUCGUGUUCAUCGGGAGGCAACGGAACGUGUGGGAGCCAACCGGCUGGGUCAGAACGUAAUGUGUGGUCGUGUUCAUCGGGAGGGCUUGGACGGAACAUGCGAUGGAAACGAAGCCUGGCGUACCGCAAAACGGAGGAAACAGACCUCCUACGUUCGGAACGGGGUCCUGUUGAUCGGGAGGGGUGCAGCGUACCGCAAAGGAAACGGACCUCCUACGGUCGAAACGGGGGUCCUGUUGAUCGGGAGGGGUGUGGCGUACCGCAAAACGGACGAAACGGACCUCCUACGGUCGAAACGGGGGUCCUAUUGAUCGGGAGGGAUGUGGCGUACCGCAAAACGGAUGAAACGGACCUCCUACGGUCGAAACGGGGGUCAUGUUCAUCGGGAGGGGUGUGACGUACCGCAAAACGGGACUCCACGGGAUACUAUUCAUCUCCACCGUCGACCUCCUCCAGCCUCCACGGGCUCCUGUUCAUCCAGCCUCCACCGUGCGCUACUCCACCGGCUACUGUUCAACCACCCCUCCACCGUCUACUGUUCGUCCAGCCCUCCACACCAUGGGGUCCUGUUCAACUUACCCUCCGCAGGCACCCCUCCACCGUAUACUGUUCAUCCAGCCCUCCACCACACCACNNNNNNNNNNNNNNNNNNNNNNNNNNNNNNNNNNNNNNNNNNNNNNNNNNNNNNNNNNNNNNNNNNNNNNNNNNNNNNNNNNNNNNNNNNNNNNNNNNNNNNNNNNNNNNNNNNNNNNNNNNNNNNNNNNNNNNNNNNNNNNNNNNNNNNNNNNNNNNNNNNNNNNNNNNNNNNNNNNNNNNNNNNNNNNNNNNNNNNNNNNNNNNNNNNNNNNNNNNNNNNNNNNNNNNCACUGUUCAUCCAAUCGACCAGCUUCAGUUAGCAGCAGUAGCGAAGGAAUCGCUCGAUCGGGUUUAGUUAACAGCCAUCGAUCGAUCGCUCGGGUUCAGUAACGCGUAGCCUGCAGUGCAAUCGCUCGGGUUCAGUUAGAGCCCAACGCAUCGCUCGGGUUCAGUUAGAGCCAACGCCUCGCACACACGCGCGUACGUGUACGAGAGAAACGCGCAUCGCUCGGCCCCCUGACCUCCCACCGUAACUGGGAACUCCUCGAAAUUUUCCUCCCCCUCGCUUCUACCACGGGUUUUUUCGUCAUGGACGGCCCAAAGAAUGUCAUGCAGCUGCGUCUCCGGCCCGCCCAGGAUGAAAAGCCCAUUUUCUGUCAUGAUUUUUUGUCAUAGAAGUAGGAGCCCACCACAUCUAUGAUGAUACCGGGUUUUGUCACAAUUAUCGUCAUAGAAGUGUCAUAUGUAUGACAGAAAAAAAUUCGUUCGGCCCAAAAUGUCACGGAUGUGCCUUUUUUUUGUAGUGUCCUCCACUCCUUUAUAUAUGGGGAAGGGGCACCCCAUAGACACACAAGUUGAUCAUUGAUCUCUUAGCCGUGUGCGGUGCCCCCUCCACCAUAAUCCACCUCGGUCAUAUUGUAGCGGUGCUUAGGCGAAGCCCUGUUCUGGUAGCAUCAUCAUCACCAUCAUCACGCCGUCGUGCUGACAAAACUCUCCCUUGACACUGUUGGAUCGUGAGUUCGUGGGACGUCACCGAGCCGAACGUGUGCAGAUCGCGGAGGUUUCGUACCUUCGGUGCUAGGAACGGUCGAUCGUGAAGACGUAUGACUACAUCAACCGCGUUGUCAUAACGCUUCCGCUUACGGUCUACGAGGGUACGUGGACAACACUCUUCCCUCUCAUUGUUAUGCAUCACCAUGAUCUUGCGUGUGCAUAGGAUUUUUUUUGAAAUUACUGUGUUCCCCAACAGUGGCUUCCGAGCCAUGUUUAUGCGUAGAUGUUAUAUGCACGAGUAGAACACAAAGGAGUUGUGGGCGUGGGUAUAUACAUAUUGCUUGCCGUCACUAGUUGAUUCUUGAUUCAGCGGCAUUGUUGGAUAAAGCAGCCCAGACCGACAUUACGUGCACGCUUACGCGAGACUGGUUCUACCGACAUGCUUCGCACACAAGUGGCUAGUGGGUGUCUGUUUCUCCAGCUUUAGUUGAAUCGGAUUCAAUGAACAGGGUUCUUUCUGAACAUCAAAAAGCAAUCACUAUACCGCGUUGUGGUUUUUAAUGCGUAGGUAAGAACGGUUCUUGCUCAGCCCGUAGCAGCCACGUAAAACUUGCAACAACAAAGUAGAGGACGUCUAACUUGUUUUUGCAGGGCUUGUUUGUGAUGUGAUAUGGUCAAGACGUGAUGAGAUAUAAGUUGUUGUAUGAGAUGAUCAUGUUUUUGCUGAAGUUAUCGGCAACUGGCAGUAGCCUUAUGGUUGUCUCAUUAUUGCAUAAGAUGCAAGCACCAUGUAAUUGCUUUACUUUAUCGAUAUGCGAUAGCAAUAGUUGCAAAAGCAAUAGUUGGCGAGACGACCAUGUGACGACACAUUGAUAAAGAUCAAUAUGAUGGAGAUCAUGGUGUCAUGCCGGUGACGAUAGAGAUCAUGACGAUACUUUGGAGAUGGAGAUCAAAGACACAAAAUGAUGAUGGACAUAGCAUGUCACAUAUUUUGAUUACAUGUGGUGUUUAUCUUUUAUGCUUCUUAUUUUGCUUAGUACGGCGGUAGCAUUAUAAGAUGAUCUCUCACUAAAUUUCAAGGUACAAGUGUUCUCCCUGAGUAUGCACCGUUGUGACAGUUCGUCGUGCUGAGACACCACGUGAUGAUCGGGUGUGAUAAUCUCUACGUUCACAUACAAUGGGUGCAAGCCAGUUUUGCACACGCAGAAUACUCGGGUUAAACUUAACGAGCCUAGCAUAUGCAGAUAUGGCCUCGGAACACUGGAGACCGAAAGGUCGAGCGUGAAUCAUAUAGAAGAUAUGAUCAACAUAGAGAUGUUCACCAUUGAAAACUACUCCAUCUCACGUGAUGAUCGGACAUGGUUUAGUUGAUAUGGAUCACGUGAUCACUUAGAUGAUUAGAGGGGUGUCUAUCUAAGUGGGAGUUCUUAAGUAAUAUGAUUAAUUGAACUUUAAUUUAUCAUGAACUUAGUCCUGAUAGUAAUUGCAUGUCUAUGUUGUAGAUCAAUAGCUUGCGAUAUAGCUUCCCGUUUAAUUUUGAUAUGUUCCUAGAGAAAUAGAAGUUGAAAGAUGAUAGUAGCAAUGAUGUGGACUAGGUCCGUGAUCUGAGGUUUAUCCUCAUUGUUGCACAGAAAAAUUAUGUCCUUGAUGCACCGCUAGGUGACAGACCUAUUGUAGGAGAAGAUGCACGCAUUAUGAACGUUUGACAAAGCUUGGUAUGAUGACUACUUAAUAGUUUAGUGCACCAUGCUUUACGGCUUAGAACCGGGACUUCAAAAAUGUUUUUAAUGCCACGGAGCAUAUAAGAUGUUCUAAGAGUUGAAAUUGGUAUUUCAUACUCAUGCCCGUGUCGAGAGGUAUGAGACCUCUAACAGUACUUUGCCUACAAGAUGGAGGAGAAUAGCUCAACCAGUGAGCAUGUGCUCAGAUUGUCUGGGUACUACAAUUGCUUGGAUCAAGUGGGAGUUAAUCUUCCAGAUAAGAUAGUAAUUGACAAAGUUCUCUAGUCAUUAUCACCAAGUUACUAGAACUUAGUGAUGAACUAUAAUAUGCAAGGGAUGACAAAAAUAAUUCCCAAGCUCUUCGCGAUGCUGAAAUCGAUGAAGGUAGAAAUCAAGAAAUAACAUCAAGUGUUGAUGGUUAACAAGACCACUAGUUUCAAGAAAAGGGCAAAGGGAAAGAAAGAGGAACUUCAAAGAAGAAUAGCAAACAAGUUGCUGCUCCCAUGAAGAAGCCCAAAGCUAGACCCAAGCCUGGAACUGAGUGCUUCUACUACAAAGGAAAUGGUCACUGGAAGUGGAACUGCCCUAGAUACUUGGCGGAUGAGAAGGAUGGCAAAGUGAACAAAAGUAUAUUUGAUAUACAUGUUAUUGAUGUGUACUUUACUAGUGUUUAUAGCAACCCCUCAGUAUUUGAUACUAGUUCAGUUGCUAAGAGUAGUAACUCGAAAUGGGAGUUGCAAAGUAAACAGAGACUAGUUAAGGGCGAGGUGAUGAUGAGAGUUGGAAGUGAUUCCAAGGUUGAUAAGAUCACCAUCACACACUCCCUUUACCUUCGGGAUUAGUGUUGAACCUAAAAUAAAUGUUAUUUGGUGUUUGCAUUGAGCAUAAUAUGAUUGGAUCAUGUUUAUUGCAAUACAGUUAUUCAUUUAAGUCAAAGUAUAAUUAUUAUUCUAUUUAAAUGAAUAAAACCUUCUGUGGUCAUACACCCAAGGUGAAUGGUUUAUUGAAUCUCAAUCGUACUGAUACACAUAUUCAUAAUAUUGAAGCCAAAAGAUGCAAAGUUAAUAAUGAUAGUGCAACCUAUUUGUGGCACUGCCAUUUAGGUCAUAUUGGUGUAAAGCGCAUAAGGAAACUCCAUGCUGAUGGACUUUUGGAAUCACUUGAUGCUUGCGAACCAUGCCUCAUGGGCAAGAUGACUAAGACUCCGUUCUCCGGAACAAUGGAGCGAACAACUAACUUAUUGGAAAUAAUACAUACUGAUGUAUGCGAUCUGAUAAGUGUUGAGGCUCGCGACGGGUAUCGUUAUUUUCUGACCUUCACAGAUGAUUCGAGCAGAUAUGGGUAGAUCUACUUAAUGAAACAUAAGUCUGAAACAUUUGAAAAGUUCAAAGAAUUUCAGAGUGAAGUGGAAAAUCAUCGUAACAAGAAAAUAAAGUUUCUACGAUCUGAUCGCGGAGGCGAAUAUUUGAAUUAUGAGUUUGGUCUUCAUUUGAAACAAUGUGGAAUAGUUUCGCAAGUCACGCCACCUGGAACACCACAGCAUAAUGGUGUCUCCGAACGUUGUAAUAGUACUUUAUAGGAUAUGGUGCGAUCUAUGAUGUCUCUUACCGAUUUACCACUAUCUUUUGGGGUUAUGGGUUAGAUAUAGCUGCAUUCACAUUAAAUAGGGCACCAUCUAAAUCCAUUGAGAUGACACCGUAUGAACUUUGGUUUAGCAAGAAACCUAAUCUGUCAUUUCUUAAAGUUUGGGGUUGUGAUGCUUAUGUGAAAAAGUUUCAUUCUGAUAAGCUCAAACCCGAAUCGGAGAAGUGCGUCUUUAUAGGAUACCGAAAAGUAACUAUUGGGUAUACCUUCUAUCACAGAUCCGAAGGCAAGAUAUUAGUUGCUAAGAAUGGAUCUUUUCUAGAGAAGGAGUUUAUCUUGAAAGAAGUGAGUGGGAGGAAAGUAGAACUUGAUGAGGUAAUCGUACAUUCUCCCGAAUUGGAAAGUAGUUCAUCACAGGAAUCAGUUCCAGUGAUUCCUACACCAAUUAGUGAGGAAGCUAAUGAUGAUGAUCAUGAAACUUUAGAUCAAGUUACUACCGAACCUCGUAGGCCAACUAGAGUACGGUCCGCACCAGAGUGGUAUGGUAAUCCUGUUCUGGAAGUCAUGUUACUAGACCAUGACGAACCUACGAACUAUGAGGAAGCGACGAUGAGCCCAGAUUCCGCAAAAUGGCUUGAGGCCAUGAAAUCUGAGAUGGGAUCCAUGUAUGAGAACAAAGUAUGGACUUUGAUUGACUUUCCCGAUGAUUGGCGAGUCAUUGAGAAUAAAUGGAUCUUCAAGAGGAAGACAGACGAUGAUAGUACUGUUACUAUCUACAAAGCUCGAAUUGUCGCAAAACGUUUUCGACAAGAUCAAGGUGUUGACUACGAUGAGAUUUUCUCACUCGUAUCGAUGCUUAAAAGUCUCUCUGAAUCAUGUUAGCAGUUGCCGCAUUUUAUGAUUAUGAAAUUUGGCAAAUGGAUGUCAAAACUGCAUUCCUUAAUGGAUUUCUUAAAGAAGAGUUGUAUAUGAUGCAACCAGGAGGUUUUGUCAAUCCUAAAGGUACUAACAAAGUGAGCAAGCUCCAGCGAUCCAUCUAUGGACUAGUGCAAGCAUCUCGGAGUUGGAAUAUAUGCUUUGAUAAAGUUAUCAAAGCAUAUGGUUUUAUACAGACUUGCGGUGAAGCCUAUAUUUACGAGAAAGUGAGUGGGAGCACUACAUCAUUUCUGAUAAGUAUAUGUGAAUGACAUAUUGUUGAUCGGAAAUAAUGUAGAAUUUUCUGGAAAGCAUAAAUGAGUGUUUGAAAGGAGUCUUUCAAAGAAAGACCUCAGUGAAGCUACUUACAUAUUGAGCAUCAAGAUCUAUAGAGAUAGAUCAAGACGCUUGAUAUAUUUUCAAUAAGUACAUACCUUGACAAGAUUUUGCCUGUGUUGCAAGGUGUGAAGUUGAGUAAAGACUCAAAACCCGACCACGACAGAAAAUAGAAAGAGAAUGAAAAGUCAUUCCCUAUGCCUCAGUCAUAGGUUCUAUAAAAUAUGCUAUGUUGUGUACCAGACCUAUUGUGUACCUCACCAUAAGUUUAGCAAGAGGGUAGAAUAGUGAUCCAGGAGUGGAUCACUGGACAACGGUAAAAAAUUAUCCUUAGUGGAAUAAAGAAAUGUUUCUCGAUUAUGGAGGUGACAAAGAGUUCUUCGUAAAUAGUUACGUCGAUGCAAGCUUUGACACCGAUCUGGAGGACUCUAAGUCUCGAUCUAGAUACAUAUUGAAAGUGGGAGCAAUUAGCUAGAGUAGCUCUGUGCAAAGCAUUAUAGACAUAGAAAAUGUGCAAAACACAUACGGCUCUGAAUGUGGCAGACCCGUUGACUAAAUUUCUCUCACAAGCAAUACAUGAUCACUCUUUGGGUGUUAAUCAAAUAGCGAUGUGAACUAGAUUAUCGACACUAGUAAACCCUUUGGGUGUUAGUCACAUGGAGAUGUGAACUAAUCACAUAAAGAUGUGAACUAUUCGUGUUAAAUCACAUGACGAUGUGAACUAGAUUAUUGACUCUAGUGCAAGUGGGAGACUAAAGGAAAUAUGCCCUAGAGGCAAUAAUAAAGUUGUUAUUUAUAUUUCCUUAUAUCAUGAUAAAUUUUUAUUAUUAAUGCUAGAAUUGUAUUAACCGGAAACUUGGUACAUGUGUGAAUACAUAGACAAACAGAGUGCCACUAGUUUGCCUCUACUUGACUAGCUCAUUGAAUCAAUGAUGGUUAUGUUUCCUAACCAUAGACAUGAGUUGUCAUUUUAUUAACGGGAUCACAUCAUUAGAGAAUGAUGUGAUUGACUUGACCCAUCCGUUAGCUUAGCACGAUGAUCGUUUAGUUUGUUGCUAUUGCUUUCUCCAUAACUAUACAUCUUCCUAUGACUAUGAGAUCAUGCAACUCCCGAAUACCGGAGGAACACUUUGUGUGCUACCAAACGUCACAACGUAACUGGGUGAUUAUAAAGGUGCUCUACAGGUGUCUUCGAUGGUGUUUGUUGAGUUGGCAUGGAUCAAGAUUGGGAUUUGUCACUCCGAUUGUCGGAGAGGUAUCUCUGGACCCUCUCGGUAAUAUACAUCACUAUAAGCCUUGCAAGUUGUGGAAUACUAACCUCAUAGAUACUCUGUUUGAUCCUGAUAUAGCAAACACUAUUAAACAGGUACCAAUCAUUCAGGAGGAAGGUGAAGACCUAUUAUGUUGGAGGCCCACUCCAACAGGGAAAUUCACUACAAAAAGUGCAUACAAAACUUGUCUGCAGGCCAUGCAAGAAGAAGGAGAGCCAAGACCCAGAACUUUAUCCAAUAACACAAAAGAACUCUUAAAACAAGUUUGGAAGGAAAGAGAAAUAGCUCCAAGGAUACAAACUUUUGCAUGGAGGCUACUUAGGAAAGCUCUACCUACAGGAAAAAGAGCAGGUAAGUAUUCAAAACACAUUAGUAAGCUUUGUGAUAGAUGUGGUUUAGAGGAGGAUGAUUUGCACAUUUUUUUGACUGUGCUUUUGCUAGAGCAGCUUGGUUUGCAAAACCAUGGUAUAUUAAAUCUGACAUGUUGAGCCAGAACUCAGAUUCUUUAGUUAACAUCAUCUUAAACUUAGCUAAUUCUAAUCAUCCACACGCCACUUUAAGCAAUAUUUUCACCUUUAUGUGGUGCCUUUGGAAAUUUAGAAAUGAAAAACUUUUCCAGAAGAAAGAUGCCUGUCCAACACAUGUCUUUUCUGUUGCUCAAGCUAUAAAAAAUAGUAUGUCUUUCGAACAAAAUAUAAUUGUAUAGGAAACAGUAGCUUCUGGAGGAGAAAGAAAAUACGAACAGGGAGAUAGGAAGCACACCCAAGGAAGUACAAUUGACAACACUGAGCUCUCAACACCAAUUAAGGUCUUCACAGAUGUGGCGUGGAAUGAACAGAAGCAAGCAAACACAACAGGAACAGGGAAAGCAGGUCUAGGGAUUUACAUGCAGGUGCAAGAAGGACAAUCAAGAUGGCAUGUCAAGAUUGCAGCAACGGCCAUGAAUGCUCAAUCGGCAAUUCAUGCUGAAGCUCUAGCUAUCAAAUUAGCAGCUAUAAUUUUAAACAGGUCAGGAAUACAGGAAGCAGCCAUUUUAACAGAUAAUCUCACAUUGGCCAAGGCGGCAGCAGCAAGGGAACCUAACUUGCAGCCCGGACAUUGGAUUAUCAGAGGUCUUCUAACAGAUUUUGUGCACUCACAGCCUCUAGUAAUGUUCAGGUAUUUCAUGUCAGUAGAAAUCACAACACUAAGGCUCAUGAAGCAGCAAAGCUAGCCUAUUCGCAAGAAUUUCAUCCAAAUCAAAAGGCUGUAAUUAAAUGUAGUACAUUUGAAUAUCAGCAAUGGCAUUGUUCCCUGGAGCAAAUUAUUGCAGAUGUAUUACAACAGGGGUAUGCCAUUAAUCAUGUAAAUUGAUGUUAUUUUGAAUGAAUGGCGCCUUGAGCGCCCUUGUGUUGUUCAAAAAAAAGCCUUGCAAGCAAUGUAGCUAAUGAGUUAGUUACGGGAUGUAGCAUUACGGAACGAGUAAAGAGACUUGUCGGUAACGAGAUUGAACUAGGUAUUGAGAUACCGACGAUCGAAUCUCGGGCAAGUAACAUACCGAUGACAAAGGGAACAACGUAUAUCGUUAUGCGGUUUGACCGCUAAAGAUCUUCGUCGAAUAUGUAGGAACCAAUAUGAGCAUGCAGGUUCCGCUAUUGGUUAUUGACCAGAGACAUGUCUCGGUCAUGUCUACAUAGUUCUCGAACCCGUAGGGUCCGCACGCUUAACGUACAGUGACGAUCGGUAUUAUGAGUUUAUGUGUUUUGAUGUACCUAAGGUAGUUCGGAGUCCCGGAUUUGAUCACGGACAUGACGAGGAGUCUAUAAAUGGUCGAGACGUAAAGAUCGAUAUAUUGGAUGACUAUGUUUGGACAUCGGAAGGGUUCCGAGUGAAGUUCAAGCAUAUACCGGAGUACCGGGGGGUUACCGGAACCCCCGGGGAGUUUAAUGGGCCUUAUGGGCCUUAGUGGAAAGAGAGGAGAGGCUGCCAGGGCAAGCCGCGCGCCCCUCCCCCUCUGCUCUGAAUUGGACUAGGAAGGGGGGUGCCCCCCUUUUCCUUCUCCCUCUUUCCUCCUUCCUUCUCCUACUCUUACUACAUGGAAAGGGGGGAAUCCUACUCCCAGUGGGAGUAGGACUCCCCAUGGGGCGCGCCAUAGGAGGGUCGGCCCACUCCCUCCUCCACUCCUUUAUAUACGGGAAGGGGGGCACCCCAUAGACACUCGAGUUGAUCAUUGAUCUCUUAGCCGUGUGCGGUGCCACCCUCCACCAUAAUCCACCUCGGUCAUAUCGUAGCGGUGCUUAGGCGAAGCCCUGUUCUAGUAGUAUCAUCAUCACCGUCAUCACGCCGUCAUGCUGAUCAAACUCUCCCUCGACACUCUGCAGGAUCGUGAGUUCGUGGGACGUCACCAAGCCAAACGUGUGCAGUUCACGGAGGUGGCGUACCUUCGGUGCCAGGAUCGGUCGAUCGUGAAGACGUACGACUACAUCAACCACGUUGUCAUAAUGCUUCCGGUCUACGAGGGUACGUGGACAACACUCUUCCCUCUCGUUGCUAUGCAUCACCAUGAUCUUGCGUGUGUGUAGGAUUUUUUUUUUGAAAUUACUGCGUCCCCAACAGCUGUUAGUUGGUGCAGUUCCAAACAGAGCGACAUGGCGGGAUCUACGUGUGAAGCGGAGUACAUAGCUGCUUCAGAAGCAACAAAUGAAGGAGUCUGGAUGAAGGAGUUCAUAUCCGAUCUAGGUGUCAUACCUAGUGCAUCGGGUCCAAUGAAAAUCUUUUGUGACAACACUGGUGCAAUUUCCUUGGCAAAGGAAUCAAGAUUUCACAAAAGAACCAAGCACAUCAAGAGACACUUCAAUUCCAUCCGCGAUCAAGCCAAGGAGGGAGACAUAGAGAUUUGCAAUAUACAUACGGAUCUGAAUGUUGCAGACCCGUUGACUAAGCCUCUCUCAUGAGCAAAACAUGAUCAUUACAAUGUAUCUAGAUUAUUGACUCUAGUGUAAGUGGGAGAUUGAAGGAAAUAAUAAAGUUGUUAUUUAUAUUUCCUUAUAUCAUGAUAAAUGUUUAUUAUUCAUGCUAGAAUUGUAUUAACCGAAAACUUAAUACAUGUGUGAAUACAUAGAUAAACAGAGUGUCACUAGUAUGCCUCUACUAGACUAGCUCGUUGAAUCAAUGAUGGUUAUGUUUCCUAACCAUAGACAUGAGUUUUCAUUUGAUUAACGGGAUAACAUCAUUAGAGAAUGAUGUGAUUGACUUGACCCAUCCGUUAGCUUAGCACGACAAUUGUUUAAUUUAUUGCUAUUGCUUUCUCCAUAACUUAUACAUGUUCCUAUGACUAUGAGAUCAUGCAACUGCCGAAUACCGGAGGAACACUUAGUGUGCUAUCAAACGUCAAAACGUAACUGGGUGACUAUAAAGAUGCUCUACAGGUGUCUCAGAUGGUGUUUGUUGAGUUGGCAUAGAUCGAGAUUAGGAUUUGUCAGUCCAAGUAUCAGAGAGGUAUCUCUGGGUCCUCUCAGUAAUGCACAUCACUAUAAGCCUUGCAAGCAAAGUGACUAAUGAGUUAGUUACGGGAUGACGCAUUACGGAACGAGUAAACAGACUUGCUGGUAACGAGAUUGAACUUGGUAUUGAGAUACCGACGAUCAAAUCUCGGACAAGUAACAUACCGAUGACAAAGGGAACAACGUAUAUCGUUAUGCGGUUUGACCAAUAAAGAUCUUCGUAGAAUAUGUGGGAGCCAAUAUGAACAUCCAGGUUCCACUAUUGGUUAUUGACCAGAGACGUGUCUCGGUCAUGUCUACAUAGUUCUCGAACCCGUAGGGUCCGCACGCUUAACGUUCGGUGACAAUCGGAAUUAUGUGUUUAUGUAUUUUGAUGUACCGAAGAUAGUUCAGAGUCCCGGAUAUGAUCACGGACAUGACGAAGAGUCUCGAAAUGGUCGAGACAUAAAGAUUGAUAUAUUGGAUGACUAUAUUCGGACACCGGAUGAGUUCCGGGGGUCACCGGAUAAUUAUCGGAGUGCCGGGGGGUUAUGGGAACCCCUGGGGGAUCUAAUGGGCCAACAUGGGCCUUAGUGGAGAGAGAGAGGGCCGGCCAAGGCAGGGCUGCGCGCCCCCUCCCCUCUAGUCCGAAUUGGACUAGGGAAGGGGGGCGGCGCCCCCCUUUCCUUCUCUUCUCUCCCUCUCCUUCCUUUCCCCUUCCUCCUCCUAGUAGGACUAGGAAAGGGGAGUCCUACUCCUACUAGGAGGAGGACUCCUCCCCUCCUUGCGUGUCACCAAGGGCCAACCGGCCUCCCCCCUUGCUCUUUUUAUAUACGGGGUCAAGGGGGCACCCUAGAACACACAAGUUGAUCAUUGAUCCCUUAGCCAUGUGCAGUGCCCCCCUCCACCAUAAUCCACCUCGGUCAUAUCGUCGUAGUGCUUAGGCGAAGCCCUGCGCUGGUAGCUUCAUCAUCACCGUCAUCACGCCGUCGUGCUAACGAAGCUCUCCCUCAACAGUCAGCUAGAUCGAGAGUUCAUGUGACGUUACCGAACCGAACAUGUGCAGAUUGCGGAGGUGCCGUACUUUCGGUAUUAGGAUCGGUCGGAUCAUGAAGACGUACGACUACAUCAACCGCGUUGUCAUAACGCUUCCGCUUACGGUCUACGAGGGUACAUGGACAACACUCUUCCCCUCUCGUUGAUAUGCAUCACCAUGGUAGAUCUUGCGUGUGCGUAGGAUUUUUUUUGAAAUUACUGCGUUCCCCAACACUUACAUGCCCAGUUGUACCGGAGAACGAGUAUUCCCCGGAACAACCGUUGUGCCACUACCCUUGUGUCGCUCACACCCCGAAGGAUUCAUCCCUAUCGCGGUGGUUUGAGCGGUACUAACACUAGUAUAAUCACCCAAGACAAUGUCUGGGGUUUGCUAAGUCCCGAGUGGUACAACCGGCCUUGACCUGGUUGUAUCGGUAGCAAAGUGACUUCUUGAACAAUCGGGUAGCAACCACUUGGGUAUCACACCCUAGUGCAAUGUGCGGUUGAACCUCUAGUAAACUAAGUAGUACAACCACCUCUGCACGCGGUACAAUCGUCUGGGUGGUAGUAGCAGAGGGCACUCCACAUAGGGGGCGGUACAACCGCUGCUACCUGCAGUACAACUGCUCUGGGCAGGUUUCUCUGCAUGGGUUAGAUGAGAGGCUCUCUCCUCAAAUUGGAAGGAUAUAUGUCGGUGCAAUACGUAGAUGUGUAUGUGUUUGAUUCACCCAAUAUCUUCUAAUGCGGACCCCCCCUCUUAAUAGUACAUAUUUCCUACGACCGAAGAAAUAAAAGCGUUGGAAAUGUUGUCUUUGCUCUUUCCAUCCGGAGGGGUGCCCAACCGUGUUGUGCCCUAUAGAGUAUACAUGUGUAGAUUAGGCACAUCGUUAGUUCGUAAAUUGCAUUGUCAUCAACACCAAAACACUUAAGGCUGGAAAUGCCUUUUCACCCGUUACCAUCGUACCUAGACACUUAGCUUGGGAUCCCCCACCCGGAGAUCUGUCUGAUUUACCUUUAUCACUUGGCCAUGACCUGUCUUUUCAGUCCCGGUCGUAUAGGGAUCACGCACAAUCAAAUGGAGAUGAGUAAUUGGAGCUGAGCCAGAAGGACGUGUUGCACACGAUCCGAGCAGUGACCGCCCGCAACGCCUGAUCAUGAUAGGGUGCCAUCGGAUGCUGAGCUCGGGCACGUGAAGACAAAUCACAUCAGGUAUGCACAGGAGUGUGCGUGGAGUACGUCUCCACAUAAUUUGUUUCCCAACCGGAUGUGAUGGAGAUGACCUGCAGGGGAAGCUCUAAGGAGUGGUGGUGAAGAUGAUAGGGACUCACUGUGCUAGACGAGUUCUGAAAAAAGUAAUGACGUGAGAAGGUGAUGUAGCUUCAUGAGGUCAUAAGGAAUGCCGGGGUGCACAUUUUUUUCUGAGAUGACAUGGUUGCUAAUACGAAUAUUUUGCAUGUUAAGAUAAAUAAGAUAGCGGAGAUAAGUCUAUUAGGUAAUCUUAUCGAGCACACGUUCUGUCCGACGCCUUCCCGCACAAUGGGCAUGCAGACGUCUGAUGCCCCUCGUGGCAGCGCCAUGUAUGCACAUGAUGAUGCAUGACGUAAUAAUGGUCGAAGUGACACACGCAGCUGAUGUCGUGCACCCUGGGUCGUAACCCUUAAAUUUGAGUGAGGUAAAGUAGCACUGGAACUCAACAAGGUGUUCUAAAAAAAGAGCACAAAAUAAUUAUUUUUUAUCUUGAAGGUAUUCUAAAAAAGAGAGCACAAUAAUAAUAUUUUUUUAUCUUUAAUUUGUCUUUAGUAAUAUUAUCUCUUUAUUUUUAGCAAAAAAUUGUUUGUUUGUUUUUAUUUAAGAAACAACUUUUGUCUUCUCUUAGAAAAAGAAAUGUCACUUUUUCAGAAAAUAAAUAUCUUUCUUGAGAGUUAUCUUUUUUUUGGAGAAUAAUCUUUUUUUAGCAGUAUCUCUUUGUUUUUUUAGUAGCACGUAUUCUUUUUGUGUGUGUGUGUGGAGAAACACGUAUCUCUGUAUUGUUAACACUUUCUUGUAUGUUUUAUUUCUGAGACAUACACGUUCUUGUAUGUGAAGUCCCGCGUUAACACAUUGGGCCAAUGGCAGGGGAUCUAUGAUAAAGAGCGGAACAGUAGACCCACAAGCUAAAAAAAAUAGGCCCACGACACGGAGAAAGCCCAUUAGGGUUUACAGCCAAGCUCGCCACCUAUAAACGCUUCUCUCCCUCUCACGGACGCCUCCUUCGCCCGCCGCCUCCUGCUCUCCCCAUCUCCUUAGGUUAGGUUAGGCUAGGGGCUUCACAGAGCUCGCGGAAAUGGUGGCCUUCAGGGUAAGUUCCACUGCCGCCUCCCGGCCGUAGCUAUCCUCGACGCCUCCGUGUCCGCCCUUGAUCCGUGUUUCUGAUUCGUCUCAACGCGUCCGUGCGUGUGCAGUUCCAUCAGUACCAGGUGGUGGGUCGUGCGCUGCCGACGCCCGGCGAUGAGCAGCCGAAGAUCUACCGCAUGAAGCUCUGGGCCACCAAUGAGGUCCGCGCCAAGAGCAAGUUCUGGUGAGCUCCUCCCCGUCGCCUCGCGACAUCUGAAGGAUCUGUUCGUUUUCGAUUCGGUAUUUCUGAUGCUGUUGUCGCGUCUGUGCAGGUAUUUCCUGAGGAAGCUGAAGAAGGUGAAGAAGAGCAACGGCCAGAUGCUCGCCAUCAACGAGGUAUUGGGCCUUUCUCGUCUUAUGUUUUGCCAUGAGCAUGGAUUAUGUCCCACCUUCUGGUUCUUUCCUGUACAUUACAAUUACCAACCGAGAGCGGCUUAAUUAGCCCCUUUUAUCGACCCACUCUUACAACUGCAUCGGUAGUUUUAUCUGUACUCUCUGUGGCGUUAUUAGUCGGAAUGCAACAUAAAAUCAUUCUAGUUGUGUUUGAAUAUGCAGUGAUGCCCCUUCCAUCUUGUUGUGAUCACUAUGUAUGCGAUUUUCUUGCGAAAAUAUGCAUCUGUAGUUGUAUUUACAUUAUCUAUGCGUAAAUUACUUCUGAUACUUCAUUCUGAUGUGCGAAGGCUCUGUUUUGCAUAAUAUAAUUUGUAUUCACUACAAGGACUUGUACCGCAAAAGUUCUGUGAGUUCUUUUUGCCACAUCCCGUUUCAUCUGAAGGGACCCAUAUGAGCUGUCUAUUAUGCGGUCACGUAUACUUUCUGAUUUGUGAUUUUUCCUUUUUCUAAUUGUGUUAUGUGUAUGUUGUGGUUGACUGGUGUUAAUCCAUAGUUUCUUUGUUUGGGAACCAAUUGGAACCUGAUUUUUUCACUGAUUCUUUUUUACUCAAUUAUGGCAUGUGAUUGUUACUUAUGCACUGAAUUACUCUUUUUUUGUCAGAUCUUUGAGAAGAACCCAACCACGAUCAAGAACUAUGGCAUUUGGCUGCGUUACCAGAGCAGGACUGGCUACCACAACAUGUACAAGGAGUACCGUGACACCACACUAAAUGGUGCCGUGGAGCAGAUGUACACUGAGAUGGCCUCUCGCCACCGUGUGAGAUCCCCCUGCAUUCAGAUCAUCAAGACCGCGACUGUCAACUUCAAGCUAUGCAAGAGAGACAACACCAAGCAGUUCCACAACUCCAAGAUCAAGUUCCCCCUUGUGUACCAAAAGGUCAGGCCACCAACCAGGAAGCUGAAGACCACCUACAAGGCAACGAGGCCGAACUUGUUCAUGUGAUUGGGCUGUGGUGGAUGCUGUUAAGAGUUGAAAUGUUUUCUUCGUAUGUUGGAUCUUCUGAUGCAUGAAGACAAGCGUUUUGUUGCUUAUUUAUCGGUUAAAGACAUGGUUGGUGGACCUUCUGAUUGUGUUCUUAUCAGUAAUCUGCAUACAAUCUAUUGGUACCUGAUAUAGAUAUCUGUUUGAAGUCUGUUCUGUUUUCGUGUCUAGUUUCUCUUACGAUCGCCCAUGCUGAUUUUGAAAUAAAAUCAUGUCACUGGUAACAGUGCUUAACUUGAUAUUGAAAUAAAAUCAUGUCACUAUGGUAACAGCGCUUAACUGUAACUCUUCCAUCUUUACCGCUCUGUUUUUCCUUUUUCCUUGAUUUUUGUUCUCUCCGGCUUUCAGCUAAUUUUUCACUACAGUUAAUUUUGUGAACCUUUAAUUGAAGAUGAAC
Molecule: long non-coding RNA, 64520 nt
Filed under: Triticum aestivum (bread wheat)
Lineage: Eukaryota; Viridiplantae; Streptophyta; Magnoliopsida; Poales; Poaceae
Description: long non-coding RNA (TAES_LNC025828)
Source: RNAcentral